Molecule: long non-coding RNA, 84553 nt
Filed under: Medicago truncatula (barrel medic)
Lineage: Eukaryota; Viridiplantae; Streptophyta; Magnoliopsida; Fabales; Fabaceae
Description: long non-coding RNA (MTRU_LNC004074)
Source: RNAcentral
AUGUACCAGUUAUUUGAGUCUAUAAAAUGUUAUACUCAAUAAUAUGCAUUCAAAACCUUUGUUUGUACUUACUACUAAUUUUUCCCGACUGCACCCUCCCCAUCCCCGACACCAAACCAACAUGACUCAUUCAAAUUUCGACUAAAUAAAUGAAUAGAACGAAAAUAAAAACUCCCAUAGACCAAAAGCGCCAAUCUUAAUGAUUCAAACCCGACUCAAAAACCAACCUUGCUGACAAUAAUUCAACGAAGGAUAUCAACCACUCAAUAACGUAGCAACAAAACAACCUGGAGACUAGGACUAUGAGAGAGUAUUGAUAAGAGUGGCACGAAGGUCAACCACCAAACUUUUCCAUAUUGCCUUGUCGAAAAUAUGAACAUAUCAUAAUCAAGCAGAUGAAGGAAGCUCUUCGACUUUCUUUUCUGUAUCUUCCUUGCUAUCUUUUUCUGGUGUCCCUUUCUCCUUAGUUUUCUCCUCAGAUUUCUCUAUAUCUUUCUUUUCUGCAUCUGCUUUCCCUUCAACACUCAAAUUCUAUUAGCCGGUCUCGGAAGAUAGGUGAUCAGGCUAUUAGGUGACAAAACUUCCACGUCAAGUGAAAGUUAGGUGAGGUUAGAACAGUCGAGCAACGGAGAUGAUUCUUUCUCAAUGCUACUAACUCGGUACGUGGGUCAUAAAGGCCUCAUAAAAUAAGUUAAACAUAUUGGGACUCCAUAAUGAUGCAAGAUAUCCAUGUUCCCUAUUUUUAGCACGCUAAUCAAUUAAAGGAAUGAGUGAGGAGACAUGAUUUUCAUUGUGCUACACACUAAUUAGGAUCUCGACAACAGAUCACCACAAGGAGAGGAGAUUGAAGUUCAACAUGUUUUUCAACUAAAGGUGAAAACUCUGCAACAUUUACUUAAUAAAAUUAAGUUCAGUCUUUUUGGUGGUUAAAUCGAAAUAUGUUACACUCGUUUUCAACUAUCUUCAUAUGUGUUUGAAGGUGGUUACUUAGAACGCUUUCAUGUUUCUUUUUGUGUCUGCGGACUUUGGUUUUUUGUUGUAAUUGUGUAAACUUUUGAUUUGUUGUUUUCGGCUACAUCUUGUGUCGAGAGGACAUGGUGCGUUAUUUAAUAUAGUUUUAUUUUUGCUUCUUUAAAAAAAGUCUUAGGUUUUUAGCAUAUACUCGUAUUGUUUUUAUAGGGCAUGAAAUAAGUUUAUUCCUUGCAUUGCAACAUAUUAUUUUUUCUAACUACAAUUUAGCAAGACAAAUAAUAUUCAAAUAAUGUUAAUUUACUUUUCUAAAAAAACAUUAUUGCAUUUGUAUUUGUUUUCCCAAAUGGCAAUUGCCUUUACCGUAUUAAACAAAUCAUUAUCAAUUUAAAUAUGCACAUUCGGAUGGUUCCAUUUAAGGUACUCUUUUCUCUUAAUAUUUUCAUCAUUGAUUGGAAUAACAUGAACAUUAAUGGACAAAUGGAUAGUUGAGUAGUCUUUUAGGAGGGAUCAACCCUAGACUCUAUAUUGUCUCUUUUGCGAAUGUAACUUUAUGAGAUCAUGUUGAUUAUAUAUUUGGGAUUUAAGAUAGAAUUUUGCAUGUUUCUAUAGUUGUUAACAACCAAAUGGGCAUGUUGAGUUGGUUAUAUUAUGAGCAUGACUUAAUAUGAUAGUUGUUGAUUUGUAUCGUUAUACUAUUAUUUAAUUGAUGAGAAUCAUUUGUUGUUAUGAAAAUGUCUUUAUCAUGAAUGUAUGGGUUUAAUGGUGGAGGAGUAAUCCUUUAUAAAGUUGAGUUAGAAGUGAAGUUUUUUCCUUUUCCUUUUUAAAAUGACGGAAACUUUCAAAAUUUAGGAGUGUCUAGAUUUUUAUAACGUUCUAUCGAGUCCCUUUUCAGAUUUUGCAAUGGUAUAUCUUAGAUAUGACCCAAAUCACUAAAUGUGACAACAAUAAUUUACAAAGAAAAAGUAGGUAUUUGCACGAAAACCAAAGCAACAGAGAGAUAAAGUAAAAAAUAAUGUGAGUAUGAGAAAGAAAGUUAUCACAAAAUGGAUGUUCAAAUAUCAAUUUUCUUCUUUUUAUCCAACAAUUAUAUAUUUUCUUGUUGUUCAUGAUAUUGAUGUUUCUUUUUGUUUUGGCUAAGUAGUCUAAAAAUUCAUCUUUAAGGUGAAUAAGUAGGGUGUUCUGGUUCGAACCAUAGCUCAAUUGUAUAUUAUGUAUUAUCACUUACUAAUUGAGCUAUGCUAACAAGGACCAUGAUAGUGAUGUUUAUCCUUAUUCAUAAUGGUUACGAAUUGACAAUCAUAAAAGCGAUAUUUUGAUUUAAUUAGUGAUUGAAAAAUACUUUUUAAAUACGAAUUUAGGAUAAUUUGGUUGUUGAUACUAAAUGGUAAUAAUAGAUUUUUGUCAGAUAGUAAUACCAUCAUACUAGUUAAUUGGAUGAGGAAUCAUAAGUUAAUUAAUAUGAUAGAUCUCUUAUCGUUUGUUGAGAACGGAAACAUAUAAAGAUUAACAUGUGAAGAUAUGAACGAUAAUUUAAUGGAAAUUGCUAAAUCUAGCGAGAAACUGUAACAGCGAAGCCUUCACGAAUCAUUUUUCAGUGUAAUUUUUUGUUUCUCUCUCCUAACUGCCGUCUCUCUAUUGUGUUUAUUCUGCCAAAGCAAGUCUUUGAUUGGAUAAUUUUUAUUCGGGAUAAAUUCGUGAGGUUUUCUUUCCUUGAAAUAGCAUUGCUCUAAUUUGAUAUAUGUAAUUGAUCGCGGGGAUACAUUAAAAGUAGUUUAUGAAGUUUAAUUGCACAAAAGAUCUACUUAUUUGUUAAUUUAUUCCAUUUUAUCACGAGAAAUUCUUGCUUGGUCUCUUAUCUAAGAGGUCAUCUUUAGUGACAACCAACAAAAACAAGACAAGUAAUAAAAAAUUGAAACAAGUUGAUUCUCUCUCCUAUUAUCUAUGAAAAGCAUCUUCAAAACCGUCUGGCCACCACACACUCAUAUAAAACCUCCGGAAAACUUCCACCACUAGCACAUAAAGAGCAAAAAUACACACGCCUGAGUUAAUUUAUUAUGGCUGAGUUAAUGUCACAUUUGAAACAUAUCAAAGGCCAAUGGAGUUUUUUCAACAAAAAAAUAAAAAUAAAAAUGAAGGAUAAGUCUACAAACAAAUUAAAAAUAACAGGCAUUAUUCAUGCUUGAGCAGCAAUGAUUUGGGCAAUUUUGACAUCACAGAACAUAUUGUUUGGCCGAGCGAACUUGGGCACUUUUGAAGUUUCGAAUUCGUUGGUAAUGGAGUUUUCGACAACAAUGACUCUAAACUAAAGUACUAUAUCUAUAUGGCACUGUAUCAGUGGAGGAAGAGAAACAAUGAUUUCAAUUUUCAUUUAUUUAUUUUUAAUUUAGGACAAAUGAUGUGUCAUGUUUUUGUUGGUUGUGACUAAAGAUGACGUGUUAGGUGAGAGACCAUGCAAGAAUUUUUCUUAUCACUUUUUAGUUUGCAAAAAACCAACUUGCCAAAACCCUAUAUAGAACGAUAUAAAAAAAUACUUAGAUACUACUAAUCAAAUAUCAAAUAAUAUUCAUUUUUGUGCAAUUUUCAUAUUUUAUGGAACGGGUUGCAUUAGAUAGAACCACAGUUGACAAUAAAACUCUUUACAGGCUAUGUUGAACUACCGUAAUUAAUAUACCACCAGGCCACUUGGGUUGGUUUGGUUGUAUUGACUAAUGACCUGAAAGUGUGUUUCUCCCCAAGGUCUCAGGUUUCAUUCUCAUUAGGUGGACUAAUUUAACUUCUUCAAUAUAUAUAUAGACACACACACACCCACACAUUGGUGUCUGACCAAGUCAGAAGUCCAAUAUUGGUGUCUUAUAAAAUUUUAAUAAGAUUGUGUUUCAUCCUCAUUACGUAUCUCACUAAGUAUAUAAUAUAACUUUUGAUUUUUUCGAUCAACUUUGUGAUUGCAUUUAAGAAUAUAAAUAUUUUCAUAUUGUAAUUUGUAUCUAGAAUUCUAGAUGUAAUUUCUCAUUCACCAAGAGAGGUGGUCAUUCUCCUUCAAGACAAUCCUACAUAGCGUUGGAACCAAAAGGAAGAGACCAUAGACAUUGACCAACAAUAAUGAUUAUAGGUGUUCUUAAAAAACUCAAACAUGUAUUGCUUGAAAACGUUGUGUGUUAACUAUUUAAGAUUCUCAUCAACAAUGGUAGUUUGAAAAGAUGAUAUUAAAACUUCAAUAAGCCUAUUGGUUAUCAAUAACUGCUGAAACAGAGUCUGAACUUUGUGGUUUACAUGUAUAAAACCACUUGAUUUAGUGUAUUGAUGCAUAUUUGUAUUCCCAUCUUUAAUAUUAUCAUGAAGUCUCAACUUUCGUUAAGUAUUAUUUAGUUGAUUAAAACUACUUAUUUACUUAUCUCUAUUUUUUAUUUAUGUAGGUUAAACAAUGGUGACCUUUAUCACGAUCUGGGAUGGACAACCGUCCAAUACCACAUACUUAAAUGAGCAUCAAUUUUUAAAAUUAUAUUUAUAGUCUGUUUGUUUUGAAUUUAAGAAAGUUAUUUUAUUUGUAUUUAUAAAAAUAUUUUUUUAUGAAAACUUACUCAAAAAUAGUAUAAGCUAUUUUCAAUUCAUAUUUUAAUUUAAAAGAGUAAUUUUUAUAUUCAUUGUUAGAGAUUUAAAAUAAUUAAAAUGACAUUUAUUUUGUCAAAAAGAAAUGACAUUUUUUCAAAAGGAUAUCUGUCAAACAUGAUUUUUAUGAGAAUCUACUCAAAGUUUUAUUAUCCAAAAAAAGUUGUACGAAAAUGAUGAAAUAUUUAAAAUGAACGAUUUCUCAUUUGAAAUUUCUUAAAAAAUCUUUGUUAGAAAAGUUAUAACAAAAAGAUGAAACCCUGUAAAAAUAUUAUUUUUUUAAAAUAUAACAAACGAGAACGUAAUAUGUAUAAACAUUUAGAGGAGCACAUAUAUGUUAAUAGAUCUAGAGUUAUAAAUAUUGAUACAUGUGAAUUCCCAAAAGUGUCUUCAUUUUUACUUGUGUGCAAUAAGAAGAAAGAAAAUAAAAUAUAAACGAAUAGAUGAAGACCAUGCAAACAAUUAAUAUUUAUAAUGUUCUCCACCUAAUGAUAUAAUUGCUUAUUUGUUCAUAAAAUAUUGGGAUGUUAUAAAAAAUAUUAUUUUAUAAAAAUCAUUUUUUUAUAUAUAAUAGAUACAUAGUAUGUAAAUAUAAUAGUGAUUAAAAUUUACAAUCACUUUGUAUUACUUACAUAUAUAAUAUUCAUUCUCACAUGACAUACAUGACUCUAAGACAAAUAUUUAAUAACUCAAGAAGAAUGAGGGAUGUAGUUGGUGGUGCUCUUUGUGAGUGAAAUGAAUGACUCCAAGAAUCGAAUUUAUAUAUAAUUUAUAAAAAUCGAAUUUAUGAAUGUUCAUAAAAUAUUGGGAUGUUAUAAAAAAUAUUAUUUUAUAAAAAUAAUUUUUUUAUAUAUAAUAGAUACAUAGUAUGUAAAUAUAAUAGUGAUUAAAAUUUACAAUCACUUUGUAUUACUUACAUAUAUAAUAUUCAUUCUCACAUGACAUACAUGACUCUAAGACAAAUAUUUAAUAACUCAAGAAGAAUGAGGGAUGUAGUUGAUGGUGCUCUUUGUGAGUGAAAUGAAUGACUCCAAGAAUCGAAUUUAAUUCAUGAGAAUGAGGAUAAAUCAAUUACGUGUGAUUUAUCUAGUAUUUAAAAUUGUGUUUUUAUUAUUCCUUUAAUUGAUUUCCGUAGUACAUAAAUUUCGGUUUACACUUAAAAUUAACAUCUUGUUAGUUAAACUCGGUAGAUAGGUGAUUAGACUAUUAGGCGAUGAAGCCUCCGUGUAGAGCAAAAGUUAGGUUACGCCAGAACAUUUAAGUGAGGGAGAUGAUUCUUUCUCAAAGAUACUAACUUGGUAUGUGGGUCUUCAAAUCCUCAAAGAUUGAGUUAAAACAUAGCGAGACUAAGCAAUGACAAAAGAAACCCAUAUUCCCUCUUUUUAGCACCACUAACCAUUUUAAUGGAAUGAAGGAGAAAACAUGAGAUCUUAAUGGGGCUACUCACUAAGGAAGUUAACACACAUAACCUGCAAAUUUUCGUUGAAUUAUUUUCAAAUCAUAUACUAUAAUUAGACACAUCCAAUCAAUCGAGCAAGAUUUUUUUUCGCUUUUUUAUUCGUUUACCUUUCUAAUUUUAUCUUUAUUUUAAUGCAUUUCUUAGUUUACCUCAAAAAACCCAAAAAAAAACUCAAACAAUUGUACCCAACAUAACUCUAAUCCAGAAAAUUUCAAAUUAUCUAUCUGAGGCAUUGUGAUCAAAAUCAGUGAUUACUAAAACUAGAGCGAGAAUAGUACGAAAAUACAUGAAUAGAGUGAGUUAUGUACCAGUGAUUUGAGUCUAUAAAAUGUUAUACUCAAUAAUAUGCAUUCAAAACCUUUGUUUGUACUUACUACUAAUUUUUCCCGACUGCACCCUCCCCAUCCCCGACACCAAACCAACAUGACUCAUUCAAAUUUCGACUAAAUAAAUGAAUAGAACGAAAAUAACAACUCCCAUAGACCCAUAGACCAAAAGCGCCAAUCUCAAUGAUUCAAACCCGACUCAAAAAACCAACCUUGCUGACAAUAAUUCAACGAAGGAUAUCAACCACUCAAUAACGUAGCAACAAAACAACCUGAAGACUAGUACUAUGAGAGAGUAUUGAUAAGAGUGGCACGAAGGUCAACCACCAAACUUUUCCAUAUUGCCUUGUCGAAAAUAUGAACAUAUCAUAAUCAAGCAGAUGAAGCAGGCUCUUCAACUUUCUUUUCUGUAUCUUCCUUGCUUUCUUUUUCUGGUGUCUCUUUCUCCUUAGUUUUCUCCUCAGAUUUCUCUUUAUCUUUCUUUUCUGCAUCUGCUUUCCCUUCAACACUCAAAUUCUCAAGGAGAUCAGCAGCAGUGGAUGCAUCCUUGCUUUCCUCUUUGUUCAGGGAUUCAGCAAUUUCUUGAAAUGUCUCUAUGAACUUUCUGCAAUCUAACAGUAUGGUGAAGUAACAGUUAGUAUAUGCCAUAAAAUUAUUGCCAAUUAAUCGGCUAACAGAACAAUAUAAGCCUGAAAGAGUGAAAUGUUUGCAAUUGAAUGGAAAGACAGAAGCAAUGAACUUAAAUAUGAGCACUAAAUCAUUCUCCUGGAUAAUGCAGGUAUAUAAAAUAUUAUCAUCAUUUAAGUGCCACAGGAUCAUGUUACGUAAAAAAAACUGUCUCUCCUAUCCACAAAAUACUACUACUUAACCCUGCCCAUGAUAAGCAAGGACAAACACUUAAAAUACCUGUACAAUAAUUUUGUUAGGUAAAGUACGAUUAUUAGCCCUUGUACUAUAAGUUGGAAUUCCAUACCAUAAGCAUCUAAAAUUAAUUCUUCCAACAUAACUUCAUUUAACAAGAAUUAUCUUACAGUCAAACUCAAGAAGAACCGAAACUAAACACCACUGCCAUUUUUUAUAUAAAACAGAGAAAUAGAAAACACCAAUAAAGAAAAGUCUAUCAUCAAACAUGUCAAACACAAUGGCACAACUCUAACACUUACUGUUGCCAAAAAUCCAAAUGAACAAGUGAAGCACAUUAACAGACAUAAACAAAGGAAUACAUGUAAAAGCUACUCUAAUAACCCAUCUAAGCAUCAGCCUGAAGCACGCUCCCAACAAGAUUUUUAUGAAAUAGCACAAAGAUACAAAACCACAAGUUCAUCUUAAAAUUGUGUUCAGAGCAGAUAACUCUGAACAUUUCAAAAUCAUAGUUCCAAUUUCCAUAUUCAACACACCCAAAAAGUAAACUAAAUGUUACAUACAAACAAAUACUUAGGUUGCAGCUGGCUAGUAGGUGCAGAACAAACAAUUUGCUUAGUUGGCUAAUUACUAACACUUAAAAUAACAAAUACUAAUACCAGCACCAAAUUCGGUGAGUUAAGCCAAUUUAACUUAGAUUAAUCAGUGCAACACCAAGGAAUGUCAAAUAAAAAUCACUCAUAAAACAACCAGGGGCGGAUCCAGCCCUAUGUGAGGGUGUGCACUUGCACACCCUGAAUUUUCAAAAACUACACCAGUAAUCUAUGUUUGUAUGCUUUUUGCACACCGUGAGAUUUUGCUUUUGCACCCUGACCCAGAGACCGAGAGAAGUGAGUUCAUUUGCAGUCACAUAAAAGAAAGAAAGCAAACUAGAAUAUAAAGAAAGAAUUGAUGUGCAACGGCGAGAAAACGAGAACGAGGCAUAUGCUGAAGAGCAAGGAGAACGGGGUAUACGCUGAAGAGCAAGAAAUGGGUGGCGGCCAAUCAAAACUCAAUAAACUUGCAUUAUUUAGAAUUUCCUAUAACCCGUUUUGGCAUGGGCUCUUCAAUUUAUGGCCUCAUUCUAAGUUCAAUGGCCCAGUUUCAAGUUGAGUUUAAAAUGUUGACAUAUUUGGUCAAGUUAAUUUAGAUAGAAGCACACAAUGGUUUUUAUUGAUAUAAACAAUGUCAUAUAUUAUUCUCCUAAAAUGUGUUUUAUAUAUAAUCAUACACACCUUUUAAAAAAAAUAAUGAUAUAAUUAUACAAAGACAACUCUAAAAUUAAUUGCUACUAUCGCCUAAUUUAAUUGUGUUUGAUAUCGUAAGCUAUACGUGCAACUAUAGAGCCUGACUUUAUAACCUCAAGAGAUAAUAUUCAAAUUUUACCCGAGACAAUUGUAAAAUGGUCAUUAUUAUUACUUUUUUUUGUUAUAAAGUAUUGUCUAAUGGCAUCAUUAUUAAUAUUUUUCUUUUUUUGCUAAUAGUCACCAUUAUUAAUAAUAAUUUUUCAUUCCCUAAUUUUGUUUUAAAAUGUUGAUUUUAACGAUUUUAAAAUAUAAAUUGCGUAAAAGUUAAUUAUAAAUUGUGUUUGCAAUUUAUUAGUUACAUAACAUAAACAAAAUUAUGUUUAAUAUUGCGAAGAAAAUAAUAGUAAUUUAUUAAGAUAUAAACAAUCUGCACCACCGGUCCAGGGUCCUGAAUACGCCACUGAAAACAACCUUAUUUGAAUAAACAAUUUAUGGCAUAAGCGCUUAUCAAAUAAGUGCUUAUGAAUAAACUAUUUCUUUAACAAGAUAAAAUAGAGUCAAAAUAUUUAUGUAUAACCUAUUAAGCUGUUUUCACGAACUAUCCUGGAGUGCUUAUAAAAAUAAACCGAAAACAACUAGUGAAUAUGUUGAUUGUUGUUUUCAUAUGUUCUCUCAAUCUCACACAAGUGAAUAUGUCAGUAUUUAAGUUCAAACAAGUUGAUACAAAUAAGCACCAAGUCUGAACACAGUUUACAAAUAAUGCAAUUUGAAUAAGAAAUAAGAAAAAAGAAAAAGGAUUAAAAGAAUGUUUACUUUCAAUUGACGCAAAUCGAAUGCAGAAAAACUCGUCUUUCAAUUCACCAUCAGCAAAGUCCUUCGCGUGCCAAACACAAGAUUUCUCAUUCCCAGCAUGCUCUUGCACAGUCAUUUUAGGCAAAACUAACCAAAACAAAACAAUCAAACACAAAAAAUACCAUCAAAAACCAAUCAAAAAUCAAAUAAAAAUUCUAAUUUUGUAGCACUAACCAUCACAACACUGACACAUGCGUUUACACUCAAUUUUGCCAUUUUCUCAAAUUUUCAAUGGUGUUAACAUGUCAGUGUUGUGUCAGGUGUAUGUGAUACAUAUAAACAAAAUCGAUAAAUUAUCAAAGGUGAAAGUCCGGCACCGACACAUGUGUUUACGUUCAAUUUUGUCAUUUUCUCAAAUUACUGCCAAUGUCAAUGAUUCAAAAUCAAUACUUACUGAGAUGAUUAGCACAGAUCUUAAGAGUCUUUGAUUGUCUCAUAACAAGCCUAACUUUUCCAGUAACCUUAUGCUUCAAAAACUUAACAGUUCCUGCCCCUCGUUCCUUCCAUUGAUUCCCUACCUUGUCAAAUCGGUACAGUUUCGCUUUUCUACACACAAAUCACAAACACAUCACACAAAAAUCACAAACACAACACAAAAAUAGAAGAAAAAAAUUGUACAAAAGAUCACAGACACAACACAAAACUACACAAUAAAAGAAUAAAAAACAUCACACACACCAAAAUCACAAAAACGUUGCAAAAAUCACAGAAACAUCACAAAAACAUCGCAAAAAACACACAAAAUACAAGAAUCGCAGAAACAUGACAAGAAAACACAAUCACAAAAUCCCAAUAUAAUCACUUGAUAAAAAAUCACACAAAAAACGCCAAAAAUCACAGAACAUCAAAAAAUCACAACAAAAUCAUAAACUACCAAAAUUCACAACAAAAUCGCACAACUUUACCGAUAUUCACAAUAAAAUCACAUAAAAUUUACCAAAAUUCACAACAAAAACACAAAACUUACACCAAAAACAUCGUAGAAACCACAAAAUCACAAAAUUAUAGAAACUAACAAAAAAAAAGUAGUUGGAGUGAGAGAGAGUAUACAGGUCGAGAAUAGCUUCUUCAUCUUCUUCACCAGUAGAAACAGCGACUUCAUGAAGUUGGAUGAUCGGAGCGAUUUGAGCGCCGGUGUCUUCUUCAUCGCCGGCGGGAACAUCUUCCUCUUCGUGAUGAUCGGUGCUUGUAGACAUUUUUUUAGAGAGAGAAAGUGAUAAAGGGUUUGUAGAGAGAGAAAGUGAGUGUGAAGGGGUUAAUAGGGUUUUUAGGUUUAUAUAAUAGGGGAGAGAGAGUCAUGAAUCGUUGUAAAGUUUAAGCAGUGUUUUGGGUUGAAAUCGGAUGGGUGACACGUGUUAAUUAAUGAAUGGUUGAGAUUUGGUUGUGUAUUUUGAAGAGAGGGAAGUUUUUUGUUUUUUGAGAAGUCUGUUAAAUGAGAAAAAAAAAGAGGAAAGUUUAAUUGAGGUUUUUGGUUGCGUUUUUUUUUUUUUUUUAUUUUGGUGGCCGGAGUUCAAACUCCAAACUAUGUAUUGUUCCUACUAAUUGAGUUAAGUUCAAGAGGACAUAUUUUUUGUUGCAUUUAAAAAGAAUUGGUACAUCAUGGGCGCGUAAAGUACAAGUACCAUACGAGUACUAGUACCCACGGAGUACCCGACACGAGUACGUUUAGUAAAUUGUAGUACCCAUGCUUCAGAGGGGCCGAUGUUCACGACAGUUUUCACUCUAUGGCACUCAUAAUUACCCAAAUAAAUUAGUAAAUAAAUAAAUAAAUGAAAUGUGUGGCAUAGCCAUCAAAAGAUGAACGAAUGAUAGAAAUUGUGGAUAUGCUUGUAUGAAUGAUAAAGAAGGUCUCAUGAGAACAUGAGUUUCAUCAAUUAGAUUAAGAAAAUGUGUGGCAGGAGUAUUAUAAAUCUUUUUUUAGUUCUGUAGUUUAGUGGCUAGAACUCACACAAUUAAAUUGAGGAGAAGUGGAGUGUCCGGAGUUCGAACCCCGGCCCCUACAUAUAAUAUGCAAUAUCUCUACCAACUGAACUAGGCUCAUAGAAAUUUAUAUGCAUAGAGGUGUUGCUGAGAUGCCCAUUCAGGUUCAUAUGAAAUAUUGGCUUUAACCUUUUUGUGCACAUUGCUAGGAAUUAUGACAAAAAUACCAAGAGAUAUAAAUGCAAAGGAUAUUUUUCUUGCAAUCAGCACCAUGAUGAGAAACAAACCGAGCUUUACACUCUUUGCAUACACAACAAUCCACCAUGGCCACGUAUAAAAAAUUUCACUUGUUGACACAAUGCCUUCAAUAGUAAUUAUAUGCACCAAGGUUUGGUUUCUCUCUCACACUUGUUGGAGUAAAUAACAAGCUUGACCAAUAUUACUUAUUUUGACUUAUAUAGAGAGAAAAGAGUACCAAGAGAUAUCAUAGUUCCAAUAAUUCUCAUCUAAGAAUUUUCGAGCCUUAUCAAGUUUAUCUUUCAUGUAUCCAAGUCCUUAUUGUGUAUCUUGAAAUAAGUAAAAAUAAGUCCUUAAGGCAUCAAACAUAGCUAAGAUAAACAAAUAAUGAUACAUUAACAACCAAUCCAUUCCCAAAAUUAACACAUUCCCUACUUGAAAUAAGUAAAAAUAAGUCCUUGAGUCAAAGUGAUUAUGGUAAUAGUCUCGGUUGAUUAUGGUGAAAAAGGAAAGGAAAAAAAAGAUGGAGAAAGACAUAUUCCCUACGUCAUAAAAUAUAAGAAAAAAAAUCAAUACGCUUAAUAAAUAAGAUAAAACAUAAUAAUUUGGUGAAUAUUUUUUUUUUGUUCUACUUGAAAUAAGUUUCACAAGAAAAAGUAAAAAUAAUUUUCAUUGGUUAUUGAUUAUGGAGAAAAUAGGAGGGAGACUUUUUUUUUAGGUAGUGAAAUAGGAGGAAGAGUUAAUUAAGUACAAUUUGUAAUUAAUUUCAUAAAAAUAAGUACAAAUUUAUUUUGGAAAAGAUGAUUUGUCCGUAAACAACAUGAUUAAAUAGGGUAAAAGCUUGUCUUUUUUGCUUAUGAUUUGAGACGCAAGUAGAAAAAUGCUCUUCUCCCAACAAAAAAUGCUCACUUCCAACCCAACUUUCCAAAAUACCCAUGCGUGAGUAUUUUUUGAUGGUAGAAGAUGACUUAAGAUAGGAAAAACUAAAAAAGGAAGUAUCAAACGCAAGUAAUUAAAUUGGGUCGUGUCAUUCAUAUGGGCUAUAGGUGCAAAAUCUUUUGACUAGACGCAUUAUAAAAAACCAUGAGGUUAAAUAUAAAAAAUUAGAAAGUUCAAAUAGAAAUAAACUACACGUAACAUGUGCAAAUUUUGAAAAUCGAGGGGAUGCAUCUGCAUGCCCUCACUUGUAUGUGGCUCUGCCACUGAAUGUAAGGACACUAAUACAAGAAAAGUACAAGUUCGCCACACACCCACAUUUACAAUAUCAACAACUUCUAUAUGACGAAAAAGGGUUAAAGUUAUUAUUUGGCGACUUUGGUGGUGGUGGCGACGGAACGACAAAGCCACCUAUGAGUUGGAUGUUCGUUGCUUUAAAGGUGUGAUGCGAGUCCAAAGAGUUUAAACUUUUCACAAAUAUUGCAGGUCGUGGAUUUUUUUGCAAAAUCACAAAAUCGACAUCAUCGUCAAAACAUGUGUCCUUUGAAUGAGGCAUAAAAGAUGCCAUCAUUCAUGCUUGAAACACCAUAAUCUUUGUCACCACAGAUUUUCCUGUCUACCUAAAAUCACUUUCAAUAGAAAGGAUCCAAUAGUAAUCAUGAAUUGACGGGAAUGAGAACAAUAAUGAAAACACCAACAACUAGGACUUAAGUCCAUAAGGAGAGUCCAACACAAAAGACAAGUUCUUUAGAUAAGAGAGCUGCAUGGCUUAAGUAUUACAUUAAACACUUUUGUAUAGUAGAUGUGUGACUCUUAGCAGAUUUCUAUCUAUAGUAUAAGUUUAAAUCAACACUAAAUAAUAUAAAGGAGUCCUUGGUUUAAGAGCUUGUCUUAUUUAUUCAAAAUAAGAGGUCAAAAUUUGCUUACAUAGUUUCACAUGUACAAAGGCCGACCUAUAAUCUUAUGCAUUGAUAACAUGCUAAUUAUAUUUGAUUACAUGGAUUAAUAAUAAUUGGGAGACAAACGAGGUUUGAUGAGAACUUCAAGAGGAGUAACUUUGAUGUUGGUUGUUUCCACAACAGCCGUCAUAUCAAUUGGCUCAUUUGAGGUUUUUGAAACUUCAAAGGAGUGAAGAAAAUUUGCAAGUGUCAAAUAAGCACUUCGAAGGGCAAAGGAUAUUCCAGGACACAUCCUUCUUCCACUUCCAAAUGGUAAAAGCUCAAAAUGAUUACCUCUAACAUCAACAUCUUUAUGAGUUGUAAGAAAUCUCUCAGGUUUGAACUCCAAUGGAUCCGGCCAAACACUAGGAUCAGUUUGGAUCUUCCACAAGUUUGUAAAUAGUCGAGUUCCUUUCUUUACAUCGUAGCCACCAAUCUGGCAAUCUUCUCUAAAUUCUCGUAUUCCUGAAAGAGGUGAUGCUGGAUAAAGUCUUAGCGUUUCUUUGACAACUGCUUGAAGGUAUACCAACUUGUUAAUAUCUGACUCAAGAAUGCAUAGUCUCUCUUUUCCAAUGUGGAGAUCAAUUUCUUCUUUAACUUUUUCCAGUGUAUGAGGAUUGUUCAAUAAUAGGCACAAAGCCCAUGUGUGUGUAACACUGCUAGUGUCUGUUGCUCCCAGAACUAGUGCCUGCAAGUUAAGCAUAAUAUUUUCAGUAUUUGUAAAAUUUAUUUGCAUACAUCUAAUAUAAUAUAGACAAAAUUACUCUCCUGCUCCAUUGACUCAAUUUUUGUUUGAACCACAAAAUUUAUUAAAAAUCACGUCCCUGCCCAAAAUGAAAGAGACUGGAAGACUAAAACUACAAAACAAAAACGUCAUAUAUAACAUAAGCACUAACAUACACUCAAAAGAAAAAUCAUAACAACAUCAAUACAAACACCUCCUAAAUUGAGGAGCACCUCCAAACCCGAUAAGAAAAUCUAACAUCCAAAACCAAAUUCAACACCUAAACACAAAGCUAAACCCCCACACUUCCUAUGACCACCGAAAGAAAUCGAAUCGCCUAUCAUCAGUGGUUCACCAUAACCCCUCUAAAAAUCAUUCAACCGAUAAAAACUCAAAAAUAAAACAUCAACUUCUCAUCAUCAGUAAUCACAUUUGAGCCCAAUUAACCAUUGAACACUAACUUAUUCCAACACCCCCUUAACUCAAUUUGUUAUAAUGAUUUGAACUUUAAUAUUUUUUUCACAUCAUUUACUCAUGUUUGCAUAUGGAUUUUCAAGCUUCUAACUCGAUGAUUUUCUUUUAGAGUAUAACUUGUAUUUAAAAUUGAGAGAACUCAAGAAAAGAAACCAUAGAUUUAAAUCUUAACCAUAUGCAAAAAUGGUUGAAUGCCGAAAAUAAUAUGAAAAAAAGAGAUAAAAACAAACAAGAUAAUUACAAUUAAGUCUCAAGACCACAAGAGUAAUUUUACCUAUAAUUUAUGAGUAUUUUCGUCAUUGAAAAGAACAUAUAAAUCAUACAUUGAAAUGUUGGUACUAAUCUAAAUUAAAUCAUUUUUUUAAGCAAUUUAAAAAAACUUAGGUUAAAUAUGUUUUAGUCCUUACAUUUUACGCCUCUUUGAAGAAUAAUCCUAUAUUUUAUUAAAUGUUUUUUAAAUCCUUAUAUUUUAUAUGCGUUAUAAAAAUUAGUUCCUAUUGUUAAUUCUCCAACGGAAUGCGGAUGUAGCAGUUAGUGGGUCCAAAUUAUUUUAAGGUUAAAUAUGUUUUUGGUCCCUACAUUUUGCGUCACUUUGAAAAAUAGUCCUUACAUUUCAAUAAAUGUUUUUAAAAUCCCUAAAAUAAUAAGGACUAAUUGGGACCCACUAACUACCACAUCAGCAUUAACCCGUUAGAGAAUUAACAGCAGAGACUAAUUUUGAUAACAGAGAUAAAAUAUGAGCAUUUCUAAAACAUUUAAUGAAAUGUAAGGACUAUUCUUCAAAAGAGCGCAAAAUGUAAGAAUUAAAAACAUAUUUAACUUAAAAAUCUUUUAUAAAUUUAGAUUUCACAUUCUAAUAUAAUAAUAUCAGAUGGUAUUUGAGUGACAUAGAAUAGAUGAUAUUGCUCGUACAAAUGGUUUUUUUCUCUCUCUUUUAUAAGAAUUGAUAUUGUGAUUGAUCAAUAUUAUCAAUAUCACUUAUUCUAUGUUACUGAAAAGCGACCCACUAAUAUCUCAAGAUGUGUCGUAUCACAUGACUCAUAAUUCUUUAUUCUAAAUGAGAUAAAGUUUUCUAUGAUUAGCAUCCAAUAAAUGGUAUUGGGGACGGUGCCAUAUUUUACUGUAUCAUGGGAUAAGGUUUUCCAGAAUCUAGAUAAUCUAAACUUAAAUUGGAUGAUUCUAAUAUAUGACAUAUGUUGUGUGAUUCAAAACAUGUCACAUCAUUUUUUAAUCAUAAUGUUCGAAGAAUAGAGCAAGUUUUACUUGGACACAUAUAUAAAUGAAAAAUGUUUAGCUAUAUUUUCAUAAAUGUAGUAAAAUAAAUGAAAAAGAAUUUAGUCACUUCAUUUAAUUAUUUUUUCUUUUAAUUUUUUCAAUUUAUGUGUGUGUAUUUAACCAUAUUUUAUUUGUGAUUAUGAUCAACUAGGUAUUUCUACUGAGGAAUAACCAAUGUUAAGAAAUUUUUAAAUGGUGGACCAAUAGAGCAAGCAUAUAAAAGUAAGGCUCGAAACUGAAAUUAAACAUAUAAUAUACGAGUAAGGCUAUUAUUUUUGUCAUCAGAUAAUUUUUCGCGCGUCCUAUUUAGAUUAUAAUUCCAAAAUAUUUUAACUUGCUUUUGAAAGUUUUUAUGGGACAUUUAUGUUGUUCGGAUUCUAUAAUCCAAACUGCAUAGAGCAAGCAAGAAACUCAUAGGAUGGAAAAAGAAGUACUCUGAAUGUAAUAGUAUUGCACAUACCAUUGUUGUGGCUUUGAUGACAGUAUCCGAAUGAAACCCAUGAAUGUUUGUUCCAUCAAUAGUAGAAAGCAUCACAUCCAUGAAAUCUUGACCCUCUUUACUCUUAUCAACACCUUCACUCUUCUUCUUCUUGUGCUCAUCCAACCACUCUGUGAUAACACCAUCCAACUCCUUAAAAUUUUGCUUCAUAUUCUUCUCAUGUCCACCAAAAUCAAACCACCUCAAAAAAGGAACAGCAUCAGCAAUAGGAAACACACCAGUCAAACGCAUGUAAUCUCUUAAAGCAUUCAAACACCUAUUAGCUUCUUCCUCUUUAACCAUCACACUCUCCCCAAAGUAUCUUUUCCCAGCAACCAUUCUAAGAACUAUAUUAAAAGCCAACUCAUUUAACCAUUUCUUCAUCUCCACCAACAAAUAACCAUUUUCAUCUUUCCUAUUUUUCCAAAAAUUAUAUAGCUCUUUAAUCGAAGUUUGAACCUCAGAGACACAAAUGUGAGUUAAUAGAUUGAUCUGAUGAUUUGAGAGAAAAUUUAGUGUAACGAUCUUCCUCAUUUCGCGCCAAAAGGGACCGUAAGGUGCAAAACCAAGCAUGGCAUAAUUAUAUGUCAUGUGUUCGAAUGCCACGAGGUUUGGACGAUAAGCAACAGCUAUAUCGUUUGUUGUGUAGCAUUCUUUUGCUGUUUUCCAAUUGUUUAUGGCUAGAGUUGUCGCGGUGCCGAGUUUGAUGGUGAAAAUAGGACCAUAUUUGUCUGCCAUGGAACCUAGAAGAUGAUGAGUUGCUUGAGAUUUACUAAAGAGGGGAAGAUGGCCAAUUAUUGGCCAAGUACCAGCAACCAUUGGGGGUUGUUUGGUUUUGUUGGAUUUGGAGUGGUGGAAUAGAAUUAUGAAGAGAAAGAUUGUUGAAAGGAGGCCAAUUGCAAUUGUGUUUUGAGAGAAAUCCAUUUGGGUGGGUGAGUAUGAAGGUGGUGAUUCUAUGGAGAUGUAUGAUAUAAUGGCUUGGAGUUGGGCUAAAGGAUGACUCUCUAAGUCCGGUUCUUAUAUAAGAAGUAAAAUAAACAAUAUUUAAAGGGUAAUGCUAUAUCACACCCACUCCAUUUUAUGAGUUUUUAAUUAAUAAAUUCAUUUUACAACUAUGAUCUUUUAUUAUAUUAAGGAUGAGUUGUUAAUUUUAUUUUUUUUAUUUAUAAUAAAGACCAAAAGAUAGUAGAUGUAACCAAAAAUACUAACUUUUUCUUUAAAUUUUUUGACUUUGUUUAAUCUAAAUCCUCUAAAAUGAACAUCUUGUUUUACAAUGUGUGUACCGAAACUCUGCUUCAUAAAUUAAAGACUAUUUUAUGAAAUAAGUUGUUAUUUGUUAUUAUUUAUAUUUUAAAAAAUACGAUCUCAUGAGAAAAAAAACAUCAUUUCAUUGUUUAUAUGAAUUAUAUUAAAUUUUUAACAUUUUCUCAUAAAAAAUAAUCAAUAUUCUUCAUUAUGAGUAAUAAAAAUUCAAAAAAAGUAAAUUUUAUUUGAUCGACGCUUUUGGUAAAUAAGAUUUAAUUAUUAUAGUUGUCAAUGAUAGAAAAUAAUUAUUUUUUCUUCAAAAAACAAUCAAUUUAAUUAUUAAUUUAAUGUUUGGUGCACCGGUACAAUCAAAAUGUUGGGUGUACCGUAGAAUUUGCCAAUUAAUAAACAUAUUUAGUCUUACUGGAAAGAAAAAUGAUGCUUAAUACUUAAAUUAAUAGUUAAAUACAAUAUCUUUUGAAAAAAAAAUUAUUUUCAAUUAUUUAUAAUUACAAUAACUAAAUCUUACAAAAGCAUUAACAAAAUAAAAUUUAAUUAUUUUAAAUUUUUAUUACUCAUAAUUGAGAAUAUUGAUUAUUUUUUGCAUGAUUCUUAUUGUAGAAAUAAUUGUUGUAAUUAGCUAUAAGUAGUUGGUUACAAUAGGAUUAGUGAAUUAGUUACACAACUAAGCAAGUUGUUGAAACUAUACACAUAUAAAUACACUUAUGUACUCAUUUCUCAAUUAAUUGAAUAGAAAGAGUUUUUUCCCCUUUUUCUUUUCUUCUCUGUUCAGUUCACAAUUUAUUCAUAUGGUAUCAUUGAGCCUGAGAGUUUGUUGAGGCGAUUACAGAAAGGUUCGCAACCGUCCGGUGGUGGAGGUUCCCGGCGUUUCGGCUCUCACCGAUCCUUCUCAGAACCCUUUCUAUGUUCAUCCUACUGAAAGCUCGACGACGGUGCUCGUUUCUCCGCCACUUAAUGGCAAAAACUACCAUUCUUGGUCUCGGUUGAUGAAGAAAGCAAUUAUCAUGAGAAAUAAGCUCUGAUUCAUUGAUGGUUCGUCUCCGAUGCCAGAUUCCUUCGAUCCAACCUUUGAAGCGUGGAUCCGCUGCAACAACCUUGUUCAUUCUUGGUUAAUGAACUCUGUCACUCCUUCAAUCACGCAAAGCCUCAUCUACACUGAUAGUGCCGUUGAUGCAUGGAACGAUUUGCAGGCACGUUUCUCUCGCGCUGAUCGUGUUCGCAUUUCGACCUUACAACGCGAUUUACACAGUUUUCGUCAAAAUUCUCUCUCUAUCAUUGAAUACUUCACCGAACUCAAGAGCUACUGGGAAGAAUUGGAGGUUUUUUGUCCAAUUCCUAAUUGCACUUGCAAUGUUAGAUGCAGUUGUGAAGCUAUGCGCAAUUCGCGACGAGGAUCUGAUACUCCUCUUUCUCACAGGUUUGAACGAUAAUUACUCAAUUGUUCAUUCCCAAAUUCUUUUGAUGGAACCAUUUCCCAAUCUUAAUUCUGUUUUUGGAAUGAUUCUUCAACAUGAGAGUCUCAAUGGAUUGGAUGUUACUGAGAAUUCAGAAGUCAUGGUUAACCUCUUUGAUGGUAAGAAAUCCACUGUAUAUGGUAAAGGCAAGGGCAAUUCUAGUACUAAGCCUUGUUCUUAUUGCAAUCGCACUGGUCACACUGUGGAUACAUGUUACCGAAAGCAUGGCUACCCUCCGGGCUUCAGAUUUCGCGAUGGUUCUGCACCUGCUAAGCACCUGAUGGCUACAGUUAAUUGUGUAGAUACUGAUGAUACAGAUACUAGGUCGAUCUCUGCUCAUAUGGAUGACUCUCACCCUGGAGCUUUCUUUAGCAUUGAGGAGAUGCAAGCUCUCAGAUCUAUUCUCAAGAACACUGUCAAGGGUGAUGCUGAGCAUGCGGUGAAUGUUGUUCGACAUCUUGGAGCACCAAAGCCUCACUCUGACAUGACACAAGGUAAGACUUGUGUCUCAUGCUGCUCUAUUUCUGGUUCCAUAGAUGCCUGGAUAUUGGACAGUGGAGCUACCGAUCAUGCUUGUUGUUCCCUUAGCAUGUUUAGUCGAUAUAAAAGGGUUCCUGAUAUUCCUGUUAGGUUGCCAAAUGGGAACUUAGUGCACACAAAUAUUAUUGGUGAUAUUCACGUCACAACUUUGAUCACUCUCACUGGUGUCCUUUAUAUGCCUUAAUUCAAUUAAAAUUUGAUAUCUAUCUCAAAAGUAACUCAAGCAUUGGAUUGCAGUUUUGUGUUCACUGACAAUUUAUGUUUGAUUCAAUCCUCCAUGCAGAAGAUGAUUGGUUCGGGUAGAAUGGUCAAUGGACUUUAGUAUUUAGAGAGCAUUACUUCUCAUGGUCCUUCACCUGUUUAUAUGGCAGGUACUCACUAUAACUCAGUUACCGUUCCUAAAACUGCCCUAUGGCACUUCCGUUUUGGUCAUACAUCAUGUAGUAGGAUAGAGGCCAUGGCAAAAUUGUAUCCUGAUAUUGUUUUGAAUAAAGAUACAGCGAGUUGUGAUAUUUGUCAUCUUUCUAAGCAAAAGAGGUUGCCAUUUAAUUUCAGUAACCAUAGAGCCUCUUGUUGUUUUGAAUUAUUGCACAUGGACUUAUGGGGUCCGUUUUCUACUGCCACUAUGCACGGACACAGGUACUUUCUCACCAUUGUUGACGAUUUUAUUAGAUUUACAUGGUUGGUACUUUUAAAGGGCAAUCAUGAGGCAAUGACACAAGUUAAAAAUUUUGUUUCUUAUGUUGAGACACAAUUUAAUGCCAAAAUUCUUACGUAGCGAUAACGGACCGGAGUUCACUCUUGCUGAUUUCUAUGCUAGCAAAGGUAUCAUUUAUCAAACCAGUUGUGUUGGGACACCACAACAGAAUGGACGGGUGGAACGCAAGCAUCAAUGUAUUUUGAAUAUAGCUAGAGCUCUUCUUUUACAAUCCUAUUUGCCUUCCAAGUAUUGGGGGUUUGUGGUCGCUCAUGCUGUUUUUAUUAUGAAUAAAAUAUCUUCUAAUGCUAUUCAAGGAGAAAUUCCUUAUAAACUUGUGUACAAUGAAUUGCCUGAUUUGUCUAGUUUCAAAGUAUUUGUUUCACUCUGCUUUGCUACUACUCAAGAUUGUCAUAAAUCUAAAUUGGACCAUAGAGCUCGCAAAUGUGUUUUUCUCGGUUUUAGACAAGGGAUGAAAGACUAUGUUGUUCUAGACUUACAUAAUUUCACAAUCACUGUGUCUAGACACGUUCAAUUUGAAGAAACUAUUUUUCCAUACAAAUCUUUAUCUCCUCCUAAAUCUAGCUGGGAGUACCUCACACUUCCCCUCACACCACAUUCCAAUCCACCACUACCAACACUCAUAGCCUCACCUCCUACUGACCUAUCAGCCACAAAUAACACACCACACUCUUCUCCAUCUUCACCUCUCCCUAACACUAACACUACCACUGAACCAACUUUGCCUACCUCCUUAAGAAAAUCCGCCAGACCAAAAAGACUACCCCUCCAUCUUAUGGACUAUCAAUGUGACAAAAUUGUUCAUAAGACACCUUAUCCCAUUACUAACUUUGUUAGCCAUUCCAAUAUUUCACCUCUUCAGCACAAGUACACACUUUCUCUCCUCACAGAGCAUGAGCCCACUAGCUAUGCUGAAGCUUGUCUACAUGAUUGUUGGGUCAAGGCAAUGCAGUUAGAAUUGGAAGCACUUGCUCUCAAUCACACUUGGUCCAUAGUUAACCUUCCCCCUCAUGCCAAGGGAAUCGGCAGCAAAUGGGUAUAUAAAAUAAAUAGAAAAUUUGAUGGAAGCAUAGAACGAUACAAGGCACGGUUAGUAGCCAAGGGCUACAAUCAAGUUGAGGGUGUAGACUAUUUUGAAACGUUCUCUCCGGUUGCCAAAAUGUCAAAAUCAGGGUACUAUUGGUUGUUGCUUCCAUCAACCAUUGGAAUAUCCAUCAAUUGGAUGUUAACAAUGCGUUCCUUCAUGGUGAUUUAAGUGAAGAUGUAUACAUGAAGAUUCCUUAAGGAUUAGAAGGCAUUCCACCACAUAAAGUGUGCAAACUUGAUAAAUCACUUUAUGGUUUAAAACAAGCGAGUCGCAAAUGGUAUGAAAAACUGUCUCAUUUCCUAAUUUCAGCUGGGUAUGCAUCGGCUACAUCUGAUCCCACUUUGUUCAUCAAGAGGACAACUUCCACAAUUACUGUCCUCUUAGUCUAUGUGGAUGAUAUUGUCUUGGUGGGUAAUGAUCUAGAUGAAAUACAACUCAUCAAAAAUAGUUUGCACAAUGUUUUUGGUAUCAAAGAUCUUGGAAUCCUGAAGUUCUUUUUGAGCUUAGAAGUGGCCCAUUCAGCAAAGGGCAUCACAAUAUGUCAGCAACAAUAUUGCCUUGACUUGCUAAAUGAGACAGGAACGUUGGGUUGUAAGCCGUCUAGCAUACCUAUGGAUCCCAGUCAGCGUUUACACCGUUAUGACAGUGAGCCAUAUGUUGAUGCAUCUGAGUAUCGAGCUCUUGUUGGUAAACUUCUAUAUCUGACCUCUACUCGCCCAGAUAUUUCCUUUACUGUGCAGCAGCUGUGUCAAUUUCUUGACUCGCCAACUGCAACUCAUUUUAAGGCUGCGCAUAAAGUGCUGCAUUAUUUGAAACCAGCCCUGGUACAGGUCUAUUUUUUCCUAGAGAUUCUUCCCUGCACCUACUCGGUUAUAGUGAUGCAGAUUGGGGAGGGUGUCCUGAUACUCGACGAUCUAUCACAGGGUACUGUUUCUUUAUUGGGUAAUCUCUUGUUAGUUGGAAAUCUAAGAAACAACAAAUAGUCUCUCGUUCAUCAUCCGAAGCUGAGUAUAGAGCUCUUGUUGCAUCAACAUGUGAAUUGCAGUAGCUUGUCUAUCUUCUCACUGAUUUGAAUGUGACUUGCUCCAAAGUACCUGGCCUCCUUUGUGAUAGCCAAAGCGCACUACAUAUAGCCUCUAACCCUAUUUUUCAUGAGAGAACGAAACACCUAGAUAUUGAUUGCCAAUGUAGUGAGGGAGAAACUUCAAAGUGGACUCAUGGAAUUGUUUCCUAUCUCUAGUCAAGAGCAGAUUGCAGAUAUCUUGACAAAGGCGCUGCAUCCGGCAAGUUUCAAUCAUUUGAUUGCCAAGCUAAGUCUGCUCAACAUAUACCAGCCUUAGCUUGAGGGGGUGUGUAGAAAUAAUUGUUGUAAUUAGCUAUAAGUAGUUGGUUACAAUAGGAUUAGUGAAUUAGUUACACAACUAAGCAAGUUGUUGAAACUAUACACAUAUAAAUACACUUAUGUACUCAUUUCUCAAUUAAUUGAAUAGAAAGAGUUUUUUCCCUUUUUCUUUUCUUCUCUGUUCAGUUCACAGUUUAUUCAUACUUAUAAACAGUGAUUUUUUUUUUGACAUUAUAUUUUCUAAAAUUUUUUUUUAACAAAUUGCCGUUUCUUAUAAAAAUAAAUAGCUAUUUAUUUUAUAAAAAUGAUCAUUAAUUUAUAGAUAUAAGAAACAAAAAUAACAAUACACCUCAAUUUAUGGAUGUAACUUGAAAGUCUCCUAUAUUACACACUGUGAUGAGCGGCGGCGGAGAUUUUAAGGUUACAAUAAAAGUCAAGUAACAAAGACUGUGGAUGGAUGGUUAGUUAAAGUUUCAACUGUGGCACUUGGACGCAGACAUGAAAAAGCAUUGAACUUUACUUGAAUUUGUAAUAUUUGUCAUUAUUUUUCGUUCGGCAAUUCAAUAAUCCUAAAUCAUGACUUUACUUUCAACUACUAUAACAUGUUUCCUUUUUCAAUUGAAACACGUACGGUAUUUAUUUGGGUACAAUUGAAACACGUAAUUUGAAAUGCAGACAUCUUAUACUAUUAUUAAAACAUUCAAAACCAAAUGAAUCUAAAUUGUUUUUUCUCCUCUUUUAUUUACCUAAUUGAUUUUCACCUACUCAUCACGGUGUAGACAUUGACAUCGGACACUAAUUCGUUGACACCAUUAAUAAUUUAAGAAAAUUACAUAAUUCACUAUAAUUAUAUGUGUUGGUGUCGGAUACGUCAAGUGUUCGAAAACAGAGCACGCCUAAUCAAAGGGGUGUCCCUUCUUCAUAGAAUUUCACACAUAUUUGGUUUUCCUUUCGUGUGUUUGUCGUUUUAGAACAAUACACUGCUUUGUUUUUCGUCUUGAUGCGACAUUAUAUUCAUUUUCCAUCUUCUUUAUGUGUUUGUUCGGUUCAAAUUCACAUAUUUGUUUAAUCUAGUGUAAAUUAAAUCAAUGAUUUUGACAUCCUUAAUAUUACAUAUUGGAAGACAUGAGCAACAUAAACACUUUAAUUUCAUCAUAUUUGUAGGCUAUGUCACAUUUGUAGAUAUUUUGUUGUUGUAUGUUAUUAAUUUGAGUGUUGCGAAUUUAUUUGUGUUGACAUAUGCCAUGAAUUAAUGUUGGGAAAAUGUCCCACAUCGGAGAAUAGAAAGAAAUAUGCAAAGAUUUGGCCUAUAAAUAAAAGCCUUGUUUAUAAGUAUUUCUUGCAGCAAUAGUUAAUGGGUUUUGUUAUAUCUGAUAUUACCUAUACUAUUCGGUAUCUGUAAUCUUUAAUUAUCGAUUAUAGUGGAACUCUUUUCAGUAACUCUGUCUAUAGAUUAAUCAGCACAUUGUUGGAUACCGUUAAAUCUUGUGUCGUUUUUCAUUCAAUCUUUUACUAUAUUAUUGUCAUUAUUCUCGCAUUCCGUUAUGUAUGGACAUCAACAUUUUUGCUAACCCCACUAAAUUUGACCAUCUAUGAACAUCACUUUACAGAACUUGAAAAACAACAUUGUAUGUACAACAACCCAAAACCAUAAAAUUGCAGUCUAGGGGACCAUGAAAGAAAAAAAACAUGAAAGAAAAAAACAUGUCUACAUAGCUCCAAAACAGUCCAUGUCCAUUACCAUGUCCAUAUAUAAUAAAAAAGAGGUAUAGCCUGCACUGCAUAUUAUUGAAUAAUUCCAACUAGAUAAUAAUAAUUCAGUUUUACAAAUCCUUGUUCACCAAGAAAAUUUGCAUAAUAAAAAAGACAAACAUUUCAAUACUUUUGCAUAAUAAUCUAGAUCUACCCUCCAAUGUCUAACUGCACAUCGCACGGUGAUCCUUACUCGAGGGAUCUUGUUAAUUCAAAGGUAAUUGAAACAUAAACUCAAAUUGACAUUCCAGUGUUUCCCAAGACAAUGAAGGUCAAGGUUCCCUUUGUUCAGCCCAUCUAUGAAUCUUAGGACAUUCAUAGCACACCCUCUCUACGCUCCUAGUAGUUCUACAAAAGGGCAGCCCUAAUCUAGGUCUACCUUACUAAGAGUUUCAAGAGAAUGGUUUGAUAAAGUCUUAUUCCCCGGAGACGCUUGCUUCCCUAAUUAAUAACCAGUUAAUUCCUAGGUUUGGUAGGGCACCACCUAGUCUUAAUAGUUUCACCUACUAAGUACCUAUGUCUAAGGUCAACAAUCUUUUCAGUAUCUUUCAUUAGUUAAUAAUCAGUUACUUCCUAAAUAUAUAAUAACUUGUAUAAUGCUAUAAAUAACAAGAUAUAAGCAACAAGAUAGUAGUAGCAAUAUUAGGCCCGGUCACAACCUAAUUACCUAAUCUAGGGCUACGCUCCUUUUAAAUAAAUAACUAAAUCAGGAACUUAACAGCGAACAAAAGAAUAAAUAAAAUAAACGACAUAUUAAAUUAAAUACAUAUCCAACAAAAAUAAACAGAGGUUCAUCUUAGAACUCUAACCUAAAAAAAUUUAGUUACACAUGGUAACAAAAAACAAAUUACAAAUGAUAAAAACAUACCCUAGAAAAUCAAGGAGAAGAUAAAAAAAUCUCCUCACUUUCCAAAGUAGCCCUCCUCUUGAAUUGCCACAGUUUCGAACGAGAAUUCAUGAAUGAGGAAGGCUGGUAUUUAUAGUGAGAAUUUCUACCUGGAUUUGGGUUAAAAGUGUGGGCUUUACCCAACACGGAAGCAGGAAAAGACAGUUGAGCCUCACAUUUUUGCAUACAAGGGGCGCAUGACAGAUGCACGGGGCGCAUGUGAGUGCACCCCAAUGCAUGCCCUUUGCGUAUGGUAUGUAAAUUCCAUGCCCUAGCCAUUUUUCCAUGCCCUAGCCAUUUUUCCAUGCCCUAGGCGCAUGGUGUCUAUCUCCUAGGCCCAAUCUCCGAUUUUCCAUUGUUUUAGGUCUUCGUCUUCAAAUAACUUGCCUUGGUACUUUGGGAACUGAAUUUCUCCCACUUGUAAGUUUUAGAGGCCUCUUAAAUCUUUAUUAUUGGUUAUCCUGAAUCUUCACAAUUCUUCAGAUGUUCUUGAUUUGCUGAUUUGCAUGAUUUCUUCGUGAAUUACUUCAAAAACCCCUAAAAUUGCUAUGUUUCAGAAAAACUAGAAUUACAGACUCAAAUAUAGAAAACAUUACAAAAGUCCCGAUGUCAUAGACAAUCAUUCUAAUACUCCUCCUUUUUGCUCCUAAAUCCUAUUGAAAAUAACUGAAAAGCAUGCUAAGAAUAACGUAAGAUGAUGUAACACCUCGUUACCCAAAAUCAAUUUAAUAAUAAAUAAACAUGCAUCAGAGUAAUUCCCAAACGGGCAUGUCACACUACAUUUUUCAAAAUUUAUUAAUUAGAACAUAAAAAUCUAACUAAUAAACAUCCUUCAAAAUCAUCAUUAAUUUUGCAGCGGAAUAUUUGCAUCAAAACAACAACUGUUUAAACCUCCAUAAUUAAAUCUGGCAUAAAAUCCUUAUCAACAUAAAUCCAACAACAAUAGGGCUACAUCAGCAAUAUCCAAAAUUUGAUACAUAGGAAAGAAGGUAAGCAUUAAAUUCCCAUCCCACGUAUCAGAGCCCUAGACAGUUUGAGCCACCACCUACUACUCAAGAUCACCUGCAAGUUACCUAUAGGAAGGGCAACAUUUUCAAGCAGAAGGGGUGAGAUUCACAACAAUAAAUAUAGAUAAAUAAUUCAUCAAUUUGAAUCUAACACCCUAUCAUAAUAAUAAUUCAUCAACAUAUAUAAAUAAUCAUCAUUUUCAACAUCAACAACAAACGGUAGUUAAAACCAACAACUUCAACUCAUGCAAGACUCGACACCUCUACUAAGACUCCUCUACAAAUGCAUGUGGUACCAUAAUCAGGGUUGGGGCCCUCACCGCUAAUUGAAUGGUUAAAGCAUUCAUUUUCAGGAUAUAAGUUCUCACCGCUAAUCACCGCUUUGAACAACAAGUGUUCCACUGCUUUGAACGACAAGGCGUUCCAGGGCCAGAGCCCUCCCGCUUUUGUGCUUAUGCAACUGACUCCACUUGUGUAUAUCUACAUACAACUCCAACAAAUGCAUAUGUAUUUAUAUGACUCACCACUCCAUAAUGCAACAUCAUGUAUGACUUAAUUAAAUUAGAAGCAUACAUCCCAGUCAACAACAAAUCAUUAUAAUCAAUCCAACAAUUUGCAUAAUUUAUUUAAGUGUAAUUAUACAUAAAUCAACAACCAACAAUCAAUCUUGCUCCUAGUAAAAAUAAUAUAAUCAUACGUAAUCAUUUGUACAGCCGAAAGAAUCAACCAAACAAAGCGUACAACUGGGUAUACAAAACUCCAAAUAUGAUUCAAUCCUGGGCACUUUCGCCAGGCGAACUACUAAACUCGCCAGGCGAAAUCAACAAAAUUGGCUUCUCGCCAUGGCGAGCCCGUGGCGAGCAAAAGGCGAGUGGCUACUGGGCACUUUCGCCAGGGCGAACAAAAGGCGAAGCAAUGGCGAACUAAGUCAGUGUUCUCUGGAAAUCCUACUGGGCAGCUUCGCCAGGGCGAACCAAUGGCGAGCGAAAGGCGACAUUUUGCCAGACGAAAAUACCAUUCCGCCAGGCGGAUCAUAACAGUUUCAGAAUCGUGAAUUUCAAUUCCUUCACCAAAAGACCCCAUUUUUCCCAAUUUUCAACCCCAAAACGGUUUACAGUAAUGUUAUGCAUUCCUAAAAUCGCCCGGAACAUAUUUCUAACCCUAAAACAAUGGUUCCUACACUCAUUCCGUCCAUAAUUCGAAGAAUCAAAACCUAGACCCAAAUUCACAAUUUCUACCAGAACUAGGUUAAACCAAAAUCAGAAUUAAAAUCCAUACUAUUGAAAGUAAACCUCACCCUUACCUUAGUUUUGCAGAAAGAAAAGCUCUCAAGAUCAAAAUCUCCCUUCUUGGUUCUCCUCUUGGCUUUCUCUGGUUUUUCUUCCAAAACUUGAUUGUAUUAAAAUAAACUAUAUAAUAAAAUAUAACACACCAUAUAAAUCAACAAAUACCAUCUUAAAUCAUAUAAAUGACUCUAAAUAAUUAAAAUAAAUAAAUUAACGACUAGGGCGUUACAGAUGAUCUGUCAUCAUUUAUGAAGGCUCGUUCUGUUGAGAUUGGACUGACCUUCUCGUUGUUGAUGGUACUGCUGAGACUCUUUCCAAACCUCGGGUGAAUACAUUUUAUUAAUGGCAAAUAUAUAUAUAUAUAUAUAUAUAUAUAUAUAUUUGUGUGUGUAUGUAAAAAGCGAAAUAAAUUUUUUAAUUAGUACUUACGCCACCUAAGGUGUAUACCUCCGCCCCUUGAGUGACACCUAUUGGUCACAUGAUGAUCUUUACUUCUGGGGUCUUACACCCUCAGGGGUAAUUGAAACAUAAACUUAAAUUAGAGUUCCUAGAUUUCCAAAGGUAUGGUGACCAGUGUUUCUGAAGGUUCUCUCAUCUAUAGAUUUUAGAAGUACAUAACACAUUCUUCCUCUCGGUAAUUCUACAAACGAGCAGCCUUAUCAACAUUUACCUUACCAAGGUUCGAGGAGAAUGGAGUUAAUGGGAUGAUUUAUUUCGUGAAGUCACUUGUUUCCUUAAUUACUAACUACUUACUACCUGAUUUCAGCAGAUGUUCAUCAAUAUUAGGUAUGUCACCUGCCUAAGUACUUACUAUCAAGGUACACUCGCUUUUGUUUUUUCGCUAGUUACUAACUAAUUACUUCCUGAUUACACAUAUAUAAAUAUCAAGAUAUAAACAUCAGUAUUAGGUCCUGUCACUACCUAAGUGCCUAUAUCAGGGUUAUGCUUCAGAGGAGAAAAAUCUUACGCACUACAGUAAAACUAAAAGCGUACCUAAGGGCCUAUAUCAGGGUUUUGCUCCAGAGGAGACAAAUCUUACGCACUACAGUAAAACUAAAUAGUGAACAGAAAAUAAAUCAAUAAACGACUUUAAAUUAAAUAAUUAUCCAACAAAUAAAAUAGAGGUUCAUCUUAGAACACUAGCCUAAAAGGAUUUAGUUACUCAUGGUAACUAAAAACAAAUUACAAAAGAAAUAAAACAUACCCAAGAGAAACUUGGAGUGAGGAGAGAGAAACUCCUCCCUGGAAGCUUCUAGUGAUCACGUACCUCUUGAACUACUUCGUUCUCAAUGAGAAAUUGUGAAUAAGGAAUGUAGUCUUUAUAAAGAGAGUCUCCACCUGAAGUCGGGCCCAAAAACCGAGAUUCUCGUACUAAAAAGUAGCAAAAACAGUUUUAACCAGCAUUAAGAAAUUCUCGAGGCACGCAAGUUGUGCUCGGGGCACCUUAGUGUGCAUAAAAUGUAUGUCAAGGCGCCCAUGCCAUGCUCGGGGCACCUUUGAGUGCAUUCUAAUGCAUAAAUCUUUGUUUUUUCGUCCAUUUGGGUGUUUGCUUCGUUUUUCUCCCUCUGUAAAGUCUUAUGCGGCCUCUUGAAUCUUCAUUUUUGAUCUUUCCAAAGUCUUCACUAAUCUUUAGAUGUCUUGAUUUGCCAAUUUUCAUGAAUUCUUCGUGAAUUACAUCAAAAACACCCUAGAAUUACUAUAAGAAAUUACAGACUCAAAUAUAUAAUUACAGACUCAAAUAUAGAAAACAAUAUAAAUGUUCCAAAAUAUAAGAAAUUAUUCUAAUACUCCUAUGUUCUGCAGAUAAAACCUACUAAAAAUGACUGAAAAACAUGGUAAUAAUAACGUAAGAUGACCUGUCAUCACUUACCUACAACAUAAUCAGCUCCCUCACCUCCACCUUGUGCAACCCAUUAUUCACCCUACGAUCACCCUCAAUAAAGAAACACUAUCCUUUGUUAUAAUGAUAUUAUCCUUUGUCUCUCGAUGCAAUUGCCUGAGAGAUCGCGGGUAGAGGUAGGUCUAUAUUCAUGUAUAACUUUUCGAGCUUAUGUUAUAGAAACAAUCACCUAUUUUUCCACCAAUGCAUCAAAAGUCAAUUGUUUUUUGGAUUCAUGUUGUUAACUUUAGCAGGAGACAUAUGUUGAGGGAAGAGUGAAGUUAUAUUUGAAGCAUAAAAAGUAUACAUACGAAAAAUAGUUAUUGAAAUUCUAUCCAAACACAACUUUAUCUAUAUUGGUUCCGUUUUACUUUGAUUCACGUCACCAACACAUUUACAACAUUUAGUUCUGAAAAUUUGUCGUUACGAACUUAAAUCAACUAAGUACGGUCUAUAUGGAUUUGAUAUUUUUUUUUAUUUAUUAAAAUCGACAUACUUACCACUGUAUUAAGGAAACCUGAAAUCCUCUUUUAUCGUAUGACACACGAUAAUUAAUAGCUUCAAAGUUGAUUCAAAGUAAAGGUUUGAUAAAAAAAAACAUUUGACAGCAUGUCCAAGUUAUACACUGUUUUGUUCAAACAAUAUUAUGACAUAGCAAAAUGGUAAAAUAUGAUUUGACUUAUAUAUAAUUUUUUUAUAUAGUGAAUGUAUGCGUAAUUAUUAAAAUUAUUUUUUUAAUAUCGCGGUUUUGACCAACUUUCGUUAGGUGUAUCGAGUCAUUUUCAUAUUACCUUCCUUUUAUAUUUGUAUCACUUUUUAAAUAUAAACAAAGAGACUACACAAUUUUUAUCAUAUAGCCAACUUAUCUCUUGUGAGUUUUCUUGAGCUCAUUUUAGAGUAUUAUUUUUCAUAGCCACGAUGAAUAAUUUUUGGGCUUUGCGCAGAGAAAUAACUCAGAACAAUGGCUCUGGCCGUCCCGUUCAGCCUGAUAGACAAACUCGCAAUAACCAUCAAUCAACAAAUGGUUACCUCACAACACCACAAACUAUGAUACAAAGACCCCAAAAUCAUCAUCUAAUGGGUGUCAACAAUCAAUCAACAAAUAGUUUUACUCAUCCUGUUCAGCAUGACACUCAAACUCACAGUAACCAUCAAUCAACAAAUGGUUACCUCACAACACCACAAACCAUACUAGAAAGACCCCAAAAUCAUCUCAUGGGUGUCAACAAUUUCAACCAAGGUAUCAAUCUUAUUAUUAAUGUCUUUUUUUUUUUAAAAAAAACUUCAUAUCUUAAAAAUAAAGAUUUGUGUUAGUAAGAAUAAUUCACUAUAAAUUUGUGUGGUCAUUUAACUUUUCACGUCAUUUGAGUUUGUUUGUAUAUGAGUUUUCAAAUAUCAAUUGUACAAUAUAUGUGAAUACAUGAGUGAAGAACAAUAGAUUUAAACACCAAAAGUUCAUAUUAAAAUAAAACCAUAGAUUUAAAUUUUGAAAGUUCUUAGCAAAUUGAUCAAAACACGAAAAUGACAUGAAAAAUUAAAGGUAAAGAAUGAAACUGCUAUAUGAAAGUAGAUUAAAGAUCAUUGAGGCUCUCUAAUAGAUUUGUUUUUAUUGUUAUUAUUAUUAUUAUUAUUAUUAUUAUUAUUAUUAUUAUUAUUAUUAUUAUUAUUAUUAUUAUGACUUUAAGUUAAUAUUUGUUUUUUCUCAAAAAAAUAAAAUUUAAUAUUUGUUUCACAUGUCAAAUGCAGAGAGGUACCAGAGAAAUAACAGUGUUGAUGCUGCAACUCUGUCAAUGAGGAAUUUUCCCUUUUCUGCCAAUGAUACUACAUCAUUCAUAACAGAAGAUCGAUAUGGUCGAGCUUUACCCUUAGGCUCAUGUCUAACAAGUGGCCCACAACAACAUAUGAGCUCACCCCACUCUACUCUUCUUUCUUCUUAUCGUGCAGACAUAGCUCAAAAUUCCUCAUCCAAUAUUGUUGGUUCCCGCGGUUUUGCAAAUUGGUCUCGAAAUCCUUCAAGACCAAUUAUUCAAAAUCAAAGUAACCAUCGAUAUCAUCCAUAUGGAGAGGGUUCAAAUCGUAGGAAUAAUUCUUUUAUAUCCAACGAUUUCAACCUUCGUCCAAGCGGUAAUCCGAAUAGAUUUCAUAGUGUGAAUGAUGGCUCUAUUCCAAGUGCAUAUCGUCCUCCAUUUUGUCCCAUUAACAAUAAUGAUUUGAACAUGUUUCUUUCUUCUGGCAAUGCUAAUUGGAAUUCAACUCAUGAUACAUCAACAAGUCAUCGUGUGUUCGGCAUUCGAGACAAUGGAGCUAGGAAUAUAUCAAUUCCUCCUCCAUUUUGUCCUACUAACAACAAUGACUUCAAUCCUCGUGCAAGUGUUGAUACAAAUAGAUUUCAUGUGAAUGAUGUCUCGGUACCAAUUACAACUCCUCCAUUUUGUCCUAUUAACACUGAGGAUAUGAGCAUGUUUAUCUCUUCUGGUAAUGAUAAUUUGGAUUCAAUUCGUGCGACAUCAACGAGCCAUCGUGUGUUUGACAUUCGAGACACUGAUGCUUGUAGAAGGCCAAUGGCUCCCCCUGAUAAUUGUUCGGAAGGAAUACAAAAUGAAAAGAAAGAGCUACUUCUUUUCAAGGAUACAAUUCCUAAAAGCUCAAUGGCUGAAGGCGCUGAUGAUGCAAAUGAAAAUGACGAUGAGCAUUUGGAUCUCAAGCUUCACCUUUAAAUUAUGAUUAUUAUCUUACGUCCUUUUGGUUUAAUGAAUGGUUACUUUUUUUUUUCCUCAUAAUAAAAUUUAGAUAUGUUACAACUCUCAUUAGAGAUGAGUCUUAUUGUUGUAUUUCUUUCGGUUUUGUCCACCAUAUAAUAUAAUGAAUUACUUUAUGAUUACAGUCGAAAUACUCGCGACUUACUUGUAUUUGAAAAUAUAUUUUUCUUUUGGUGUGUUACAAUAUACAUAGCUUUGUUUUAGACGGGGCUUUCGUAAAUAGACGAUUGAAUUGAACCUCUCGAAUUAAUCGAUCAUUUUGCAAUAUCGAGUUUUUAAAAAAUAUAUAUACUUUCAAGAAAACAUAAUGUUAAUUAAAUAAUUUUUUUUUGGGUAGUUUUAAAGAAUAAUGAUUUUGUUUCAAAUUAGGUGAAUUAAAAGCAAAAUAAACAGCAUCGUAUUGCUAGCAAAAUAAAUCACUUUUUAACCGACAGAAUUAGACCAUUUUAAUUUCAAACAAUAAUUAAAGUUUAACUUAUAAGUUUUUUAUUGACAAAUAUAUAAAUUAUUUAUACCAUACUUAAAAAAAUUAUUUAUGUAAGGAUAUUAUUAAGAAUACUAUAUAUUUAUAUUACUCUAAUAAUAGAUUUGAUAAAAACUCAUUAGAGAGCGAAAAUUAUGUUUUAAAAAAUAUAUCGUACAAAGACGAGAAAUUAAAAUAAAAAAAAUCAUAUUACUAGAAAAUUGUGUUGCCGCUAUACAAAUCCAUAUGUUAUUUUUUUUAUUAUAAAGAAAUGCAUAUAUUGUUAAUUUCCGUCUUUCUGCGGUGUACCUUUUAUUUCCCUUCUUAAUACAAUGUUUAUUUGAUUCAGGUUGAAUGAUUAACUUUAAUCAAGUGCAAAUUCAAUCAACGACUUUUGCAUUGUUAACAUUGCAUAUCCGAAAACAUGUAUUUCGGUGGCUUUAAUAUAAUCAUAUUUGUAGGCAUAUGUACUAUGAUGUUUUAUGUUAUUAACAUGGAUGAUGUGAGUUUGUUCGCAAAUUUCAUUCUUUUUAUUUUAGCGACUUUGAAUAUGUAUUGUAUCGAUGUAUGUUAUCAAUUUGAAUGAAUGAAUAUCAUUUAUUUGCUAAAAAAGAAAUUAAAAUGAAAUCAAGCUGAUGAAUUUAAAAGGUAAUUUUCCCUCUCUAAUGAGUUUUUAUAAAAUCUAUUACUAUAGUAAUAUAAAAAUAUAGUAUUUUCUUAAUAAUAUUCUUAUCUAAAUAAUUUUUUUAAGGAUGGUAUAAAUAACUUAUAAGUUUGUCAAAAAAAAUUGAGGGAAAAAAACUUAUAAGUUAGACUUUAAUUAUUUUUUGAAAUUAAAGUAGUAAAAUUCUAUAUGUUAAAAAGUAAUUUCUUUUACGUUCUUUCUUCGUUAAUAUUAAAAAAGUGAUUUUUUCCUUCAAAAAUAAAAAAUAAAAAAAAGUGAUUUCUAGACCCUCGUGAUCAACAUAAAAACAUUUUAUAGAAAAGCUUUUAACAUAAAAAAUAAUGAACAAACAUUCUUAAAAUUAUAUAUAAAUAUGUUAAUUAUGAAAUAAAAAUUAGCAAAAGUCUAAGUCCAUAAAUGUUAUCGUGUAAUGAAGAAAUUAAAGCUUAUUUCUAAAUCAUUUUUCUUAUAAUAGCUUAAAUCAAAUAUAUGUGAAAAUAUAUAUUAUUGUACCUUAUUUAACAUCCAAUCAAAAAUAAUUACUUUAAUUUUAAAUAAUUCUAUAAAAGUACUUCUAAUAUUGACACAAUUCAAAGGUGAAUCUUACCGGUUUUAAUAAAUUUUUUAUAAAAUAUUAUAUCUAAUCACUAUUUUCUAUUGUUGUAAAAUUCUUUUUUUUUUUGUUAAAGAUGGUAAGAUUCCACAUUUGGAACUUUUUUUUUUUUUUUUUUUGACAAAACAUUUGGAACAUUUUUAAAUGGUCAAUAUCAUAUUAGCUAGACUCAUAAUAUAAAUUACUUACGUUUUAUUUUAAAUUUAUAAAUUUUCCUUUAACUCCUGUUUUUUAAGACUUUUUUCUUUUGAUUAUAAGAAAAGAGAUUAAAAAGAUAAUAAAAAAUUUAAUUAUAUUGUUUUUUAUUUCUCUAAUAGGAAUCUUAUUAAUUGUUUUGAAUUGAAUUGAUCGAAAUGAUUUAGAAUUAUAUUAAUAAUGGUCAACUAGCUAUUUUUUUUCUAAAAAUUGAAGAAAGAGAAAAUUAUUUUUAAUUUUUUUAUCAAGUAGUAUGACUAGAAUUCACACAAUUAAUAGGAAUCUUAUUAAUUGUUUUGAAUUCAAUUGAUCGGAAUGAUUUAGAAUGAUAUUAAUAAUGGUUAGGUAGAUUUUUUUUCUAAAAAUUGAAGGAGAAAAUUAUCAUCAUUUUUUGAUAAAGUAGUCUAGUGGCUAGAGUUUACACAACUAAUUGGAAUCUUAUUAAUUGUUUUAAAUUGAUUUGAAUGAAAUGAUUUAGAAUGAUAUUAAUAAUGGUCAACUAGCUAUUUUUUUCUUAAAAAAUUGAAGAAGGAGAAACUUAUCAUCAUUUUUUGUCAAACGGUCUAAUGGCUGAAGUUUUUUUUUCCAACUAGGUUGGCACCCAACAUCCUCUGCCGCCUCUCGAAUACGUAAUAAUAUUAUUAAAAAAAAGGAAAAAUCUGUACAAAAGGGGGGGGGGGGGGGACGACUAGGCCAAUACCCUAAAAAAAGGAAACAUAAAAUAAAAUGACUAAAAAUGGCUACGGGAAUCUGUAAUUAGGAGAUAUUACAUUAGAAGUCUCUUGAUUGUGUUCAGGAGCAUAGGAAGUCUCUUGCAGUUGUGCUUGUGCAUUUGAAGUCUCGUGCUAGUUUUAGCAGUGAGCAGUUGUAAUCAGAUAUUACAUUUUAGUGAACUCUUGUUUGAAAGUGCAAGGGGGACAGGACUAACUUCCAGUUUGUGGAAGGAACCUGUAUAAUUGCUUUGUGUCUUUCUUCUUUCUCGCUUUCUGUUUUAUCUGCUGCUAUUUAGUUUUGGAAAUCACUUCAGAAGCAUAACUCUAUUUGUUUCUGAUCAGUGUUUUUAGCUUAGGAGAAAACGAAGAAAAAGCUAACACAAUUCAACCCCCGUCCCCUCUUCUUGUGUUUUUUCUCACCUUCAUAUUUUAUUAAGCAACCUAAAAACAUUAGGUCAUGUAUGAACAAGAACAAGUAUCUUUGAUUACUGUAAUACGGGUAAGUUACGGACCCGUGGUAAUAAAUCAUGUAAGUAUAAGUUAUAAGACCUUAUGUAUGAAUAAGACUAUAUAAGUAUGAACAUGUCGUGUCUUUCCAUUAGCCACGAUAGGGGGAUACGAGAGGUUCACGUUAGGGGGACAAGAUACGCUCCGCAAAGUAGGCCCGCACGACAAUAAGAGGAGUCCGGUGUUAAACUCUGUUAGGAAUAUCACCGGUUAUGUCAUGGGAUUAUAUUCCGGGGUUACUCCACAUGGGAUUAAUCUGUAAAACGAACCAAGAUAAUUAUGUUUAUUCCACGCUAACUUCUAACAUGAUAUGAUAUGAUUAAGCCAUGAUAUUGACGAUUUUCAGACGUAGUGGUCUUAGUCUCCCCUUACCACCUUGGUAUGCAGGGCAUAUAAUAAGAAUUGUAGAUUAUGAUAUGUAGAAGCUUAUGAAGAUAUUAGUUAUGCACGAUAGUUUAGGUAUGCAAGACUUCACACACGUAUAAUCAACCGAAUGGUUGUGUUGUAUACAUGUGGUGACCAUAGGUUUCCCCGAGGUUGCCUAUAGCCUAGGAUUAAGUAAAACUCACUGAGACAAUAUGUCUCAUCCCAAUACUUUUAUGUUUCAGAUCAAAAUGUUUUGUGGCAAGCGAAAUUAUGUAGGUAGUAGAAUGGAUUAUCAUCUAGUACAAGUUCGUAUCAGUCGAAGAUUAUUGUUACGGAUUCAAGUGGUUACUAGAAGAAUGUAUUGGAUUUAUAAGAUUGUUGUAUCAAAUGUACGAACUCAUUUAGAUGAGUAUAUUUAUUGAGAUUGUUGUGUUGUAAAUUGUAAGGUAUCUAAUACUAAGAUAAUGCACAUACUAAAUUUUCUAUAUACGUUUAGUAUGGGUGUUACAUUUGGUAUCAGAGAAGGUCGACUAAGAUCGUGCCAUGGGUCAUUAGAUUUCAACUAACGUAGUGGAGCCAUUGGGUUCUGGGUAUUUAUUCUAAGUGUUGUUGCUAGCUGAGCCUGAUCAACUCAAUCUAUCACACGGGAGUUAUAAUUGAUGUCUGAGAGCUGAAUAGGACCUAGGAGGAACGAAGCGUGUGAUGGAGAUGAACUAGGAAGUAAGAACUCGUAGUGACUAAUAGUAAGAAUCUACUCAUUCCAAAAGGUGGCCGGUGAACUGAGAAGUUUAAGUUGGAUUCCUCCGGGGACACAGAGAAAUGUUAGGAUCAAAUUAGAAUACCCCAACAUUGUUGUAUAUAUUGUUGGACAGUAUUUCGUAUGUGGAAAAUUGAAGAAUUUAAGAAUAUCCAGGGAUUGGUCUGAGACCUUCGUGGGAGCCGUAGUUGAAGUAGGAAUGUGAUACAAAGUAAAGUUAUACUCCUGAACCCAGAUUCAAGGUUACAUGAUAAAGGGGCACAAGUAAAACGGUUGGAAGUAGAUGAAGUUAAAUCUUUAUGGGGUAAUUAAGUAAGCAAUGUAAGUUAGUCAGACUCUGUCAGAGAUCGCGCCUCCCGAAUCUUAAGUGUCAAACUUAUAGGACGGAAAGUGAAAUGUCAUACAACAUGAAGGUUAGGAUGGAUGAGUAUUUAAGUAAUGGAAGGGUGUGUCACGAAUUAAAGGUAUUUUCGAAUGUGUUUUCAAGGUCAAGAGAGAUGGAAUCGGUACUAGUAUAGCGCACUUUGGUUUGAUGAGUUAACCUUAUGAGGCAGUGAAAAGUGCAAGCUAGCCCCUCUGAUCGCGACACGUGAACUCCCAAGAAUAACUUGGAAAUUAAAUAACCAUGUAUUAAUGAGAGUGUAAUACCCACGAGUCUCACGGAUUGGUGAUUAUGGCUAAUGAUAUAUAAAUGAUGAAUCAAAGUGGCGCAGUGGAAAUUGAUUAGUAAGAAGUUUAAGGAAUACGCAAAUUCUUGGACCUUGGAAUAGGAGUUUCAUGAGAUAGGAUAAGUAGCCGUUAGUCAAGCGGUUAGCCAUUUCUAGUGAGAAGUAUUGAGAGAUGAGUAAGAAAUUCUUGAAGCACCAGGUUCAAAAUGAUGGGACUCGAGUAAAACUGGAAUCACCACUGGUAUGGUCUUUGAUUUUCUUAGUUCACUGACUUUAAGUAUAAACAAAAAAUGUCAGCCGGUUAGAAAAGAGUUCGGUGUGAGCAACGUGGUUUUCUAAGUUUUGUGUAGAUGUGAUUAUCUCCACAACUCUAUGUUUUGCUUGAUUAACUUGUUAAUUCUUGCCAUAAUGAUGAAUUAAGGUGUUUACGUGAUUUCUAGACUCGAUACGUGCAUUUGGGUACUUGGAAUUGAUGUUUUGAGCUAAGAUACGAAUUCUACAGGUCCUGCUCUGUCCUAACUCGCUUAAAGCAAGCUAAACUGACCUGGAGCGAGUAAACUCCAGAGAGAACUCGCCUGAAGCGAGUAACUAGCUUAUAACUCGCAUGGAGUGAGUUUUGACAGCACAGUUGUGUUGUCGACUCGUUCCGUAGUUCUGUAGUGCAGUCCGGGGCCCAGUUUUGCUGUAUUUUCUUAUAAUAUGUAACCCUCAAUACCAGUGACCCAUAUGCUAGUGUUACAAAAAUUACUUUAAGGAAAAUCAACAAGUAAGUAUUGGCGUUAUUAAGCGAAGCAUAAUAUUUGAGAGCAUGAUUAUGUAUAUGGUAUGUGUGGGUAGUAUGCUAACCCUUAAUGUAUGGGAAGACCCGUUCUCUAGAGUAAUGUUUAGAGUAAUGUCUUUCACAAAGGAAAUUAUGUAUUCUAAGGAAGUAUGUUCAAAAAGGGUAUUAGGAUAUAAGGAAGAUAAAAAUUCAACUAGAUAAAGGAAUGUUUCGUGACUACAUAUAGAGAUACUUCAUGAGGUAAGCCAUCCACCGUACUACCUUGCAUUCUGUGUGCUCAUUAGUUGGUGUACUAAAACUCGAACGGAAACGAUGCUUAAUAUAUUUGUCAGGUAAUGUAUCUGUAUACAAAUAUGAUGUGUACCGCAUAGAGUUUUUCCAUGAGAGAUCAGAGUACUGUCGCAUAUAUUGGGAUGAGUAGAGAGAAGUAUAGUUAACGGGACCAUCAACCGGGUUAUUGGGAGAUCGUAUGCGAUAUUCAGAGACUUAAUGAAGGUAUUCAAGUGUUAGUGACCUAAGACAGAGUUGUACAAAUAAGUGGAUUAAGGAACUUACUAACAAAUGUCAGAUGUAUUGGCGUGUUUGGUUUUGUUUUUCUCUAUCUCCGAGGUGUAUGAGCCACCACACAAAUCAUAACCAAGAAAAUGUGUUAUGGAAAUUAUUCAGCUUGAGGAAUUGAAGAUUUUCUGAUUUUGGAAAAGCACUCAUUUAUCUAUCAACCCAAGUUAGAUAUUUUUGAAUGAUAUGUCGUCAAGACCAAGAUUAGGAACGUCAUUUAAGAAUAUUCACCGAAAUUUGAAUAUCUCUCUAAAGACUUGAGGAAAGAUAUGAAUGACACAGGGUCGUCACGCAAGUUACACAAGUAAGAGGCAGAUACCUUUAGAACUCGGUAAAGGAGGACAUGUGUUCCUGUGGUUACACUUUUAGUUGGGAAUUUCGAAAAGUUUCAGGAUUAAUAAAUUAUGUUGAAGAUAUUCAGACAAUUUUAGAUACUCAGGCAUGUUGGUGCAGUGGUUUGACAGUUCGACAUGUACAAUUAUGAUAGCAGCAUGAUGUGCUUCACGUUUUCAGCUAAGAAGGUAUAUUGUGGGUCCUUUUCAAUCAGCAGAGUUAGUUGUCGUAGAACACAGGUUGGACUUGACAUUUUGCGAAAACCAGAUCGAUUAGUAAAUCAUAAUGUCAAUUCAUUCAUGAGUAAGAGAUUCUGAUAGUAAAGGUUAGCCGGAAGAAUUCACCUGAUAAUGAUAUAUGGGAGCUAGAGACAAAGACGUUAAGUAUUAACCGCAGUUGUUUUAAAGUGAUUCUAAAUUUCGAGGACGAAGUUCUUAUAAAGGGGUAGGAUGUAAUAUCCCGUGUUGAUAUUGGCUUCAAAUUUGUGGUCUGGAAGAACAGAGAAAUCGUGACACGAUUUCAAGUGGCCGUGAGCUAGUUUGCAGGACGCCAAAUCGUGGCACGAUCUUGGAAAAUCGUGACACGAUUCAGAAACUUGCUCGUUAAGUAUCACUGAUAAGGACUUGUCAACCUUGGGUCCGUUGCAGAUCGUGACACGAUCUAGGGAAAUCGUGGCACGAUUUCUUCAGGGGAAGACUAGUAUAUAUUGUGUUCUUGUGCUUUUUUGGAGAAAGAGAACUUAAGAGAGCUUGUAUGAGCUUUGAGAGAGAACUUGGAUAACAAAGGAGGGAACCAAUGGGUUGAGUGUCUUUGUUGAGAGUGUCUCUUGGGUUGGGAAAAACAUUGUAAUCACCUUGGGUUUUAGGGUUCAUAGUGUGAGAGUGGGAAAAUACCAAAGGGUAGAAUCUAGGGUUUGUUCAUAUGUAAAGCUUGAAGGCUAGAGUCUUGUAACCUUUUGUAACACUUUCUCAUAUUGGAUUGGAGAGCUGCUCUCUCCCCCAGAUUAGGCCAUAUUGGCUGAACUGGAUCAACAAUCUUCUCGGUGUUUUGUUCUUUCUUUUACCGCUUAUCUUGUUUUGCUUUGGUAUCUCUUUUGUGUGGUUUUGCUAUACACUAGUCUAGGGCUGUUUUGUUGUUGUUUGCUUGGAGACCAUUUGUUCUCAUUGAUUAUCACUAUCACUUGCUCCACACAUCAUUGUUUAUUUCAUUGGUGUGAAGGUUUAUUUGAAACCGGAUUCACAACAAUUGGCGCCCACCGUGGGGCAUAGGCGUUAUUGAUAGUUGGUAUCAUGGGGUCAAAGUGGGACAUCGAGAAGUUCACCGGAAGUAAUGAUUUCGGGUUGUAGAAGGUUAAGAUGCAAGCGAUUUUGACACAACAAAAGUGUGUAGAAGCAUUAAAGGGUGAAGCGGAGAUGCCGGCAACCUUGACACAAGAGGAGAAGCGUGAGAUGGUAGACAAGGCAAAGAGUGCCAUUGUCUUAUGUCUCGGAGAUAAGGUCUUAAGGGAUGUCGCGAGAGAAGCUACCGCGGCAUCGAUGUUGGCGAAGUUGGAGUCAUUGUAUAUGACGAAAUCUUUGGCUCAUAGGCAACUCUUGAAGCAACAACUCUAUUCAUUCAAGAUGAUGGAGUCUAAAUCGAUCUCGGAGCAACUUACGGAGUUUAACAAGAUUCUUGAUGAUUUGGCCAACAUUGAAGUUAACAUGGAAGAUGAGGAUAAGGCUUUGUUGUUACUUUGUUCAUUACCAAAGUCCUUUGAGCAUUUCAAGGAUACCAUCCUUUAUGGUAAGGAGGGCACUGCUACUUUGGAGGAGGUCCAAGCGGCUUUGAGAACCAAGGAAUUGACCAAGUUCAAGGACAUGAAGGUUGAUGAAGGUAGUGAAGGCUUGAAUGUUACAAGAGGGAGGAAUGAGCAUAGAGGAAAAGGCAAAGGGAAAUCAAGAUCCAAGUCUAGGUCCAAGGGCUUUGACAAAUCAAAGUAUAAAUGCUUUCUUUGUCACAAGCAAGGUCAUUUCAAGAAAGAUUGUCCGGAUAAGGGGGGCGAUGGUAGUCCUUCGGUUCAAGUUGCGGAGGCUUCAAAUGAAGAAGGUUAUGAGAGUGCGGGUGCACUAGUGGUAACAAGUUGGGAACCGGAGAAGAGCUGGGUUUUGGACUCGGGAUGCUCUUAUCACAUGUGUCCUAGAAAGGAAUAUUUUGAGACUUUGAUUCUAAAAGAAGGAGGAGUUGUUCGACUCGGAAAUAACAAAGCUUGCAAAGUCCAAGGCAUGGGCAACGUUCGUCUAAAGAUGUUUGAUGGCCGUGAAUUCCUUUUAAGGGAUGUGAGGUUUGUUCCCGAACUUAAGCGUAAUUUAAUUUCCCUAAGCAUGUUUGAUAAUCUAGGUUAUUGCACUAGAAUAGAGCAUGGGGUUUGUAAAAUUUCGCAUGGUGCAUUGAUUACGGUAAAGGGGUCUAGAAUGAAUGGUUUAUACAUUUUAGAUGGUUCCAUAGUAAUUGGUAAUGCAUCGGUAGCUAGUGUUGCAUCUCAUAAUAAUUCUGAAUUGUGGCAUUUGAGAUUGGGGCAUGUUAGUGAGAGGGGUUUAGUUGAACUAGCUAAACAAGGUUUGCUAGGGAAAGAUAAAUUGGACAAGCUAGAAUUUUGUGAGCAUUGCAUACUAGGCAAACAACAUAGGGUGAAGUUUGGGAGUGGCAUGCAUCAUUCUAGUAGGCCUUUUGAGUAUGUGCAUUCAGAUCUUUGGGGUCCUUCUAAGACUCCUACUCAUGGGGGAGGUUCCUAUUUUCUUUCUAUCAUUGAUGAUUAUUCUAGGAGAGUGUGGGUCUUUGUUUUGAAAAACAAAAGUGACACCUUUGAAAAGUUCAAAGAAUGGCACACUCUCAUAGAAAAUCAAAUGGAAACUAAACUAAAAGGUUUAAGAACUGACAAUGGUCUGGAGUUUGUUUCAGAGCAGUUUAAUGAGUUUUGCAGGUUGAAAGGAAUCAAGAGGCAUAGAACCGUACCGAGAACACCGCAACAAAAUGGUCUUGCGGAACACAUGAAUAGGACUCUUUUGGAGCGUGUGAGGUGUAUGAUUCUAGGAGCUGGGUUACCUAAGAGUCUCUGGGGUGAAGCUGUGACAAAGGCUGCUUAUUUGAUCAAUAGAUGUCCAUCAACGGGGAUAGACUUCAAGACACCUAUGGAGGUAUGGAGUGGGAAACCGGCAGAUUACUCCUCUUUGAAGGUUUUCGGAGCUUUGGCAUAUGCGCAUAUCAAGCAAGACAAGCUUGAGCCUAGAGCUUUGAAAUGUGUCUUCAUUGGUUAUCCGGAAGGUGUGAAGGGGUACAAGUUGUGGAAAUUGGAAUCUAGUGGAGGAUCAAGAGUCUUGAUUAGUAGGGAUGUUACCUUUGAUGAGACCCGUAUGGGGAUGAAGUGUAAAGACCUAAAGACUCAAGUACCGGAAACUAUGGUGGAGAAAACUCAGUUUGAGGUGGAGCUUCCAAAUGAAGAAGAAGAAGAUGUAGAAGAUGACGCUUCGACAUCGGAUACAAGUGGAACUCAACCGGUAGUGGAUCCUGAGUACCUAUUGGCUAGAGAUAGAGAAAGAAGGACCAUUACGGCUCCUAAGAGAUUCGGUUAUGCGGACUUGGUGUGUUUUGCUCUAAAUGCGGCGGAAGAUGUGCAAGACUCGAAGCCUAGAAACUUCAAGGAGGCAUUUGAGAGCAAAGAGAGCAAGUAUUGGUUGAAGGCGGUGAAUGAAGAGAUGGAUUCAUUGGAAAGGAACCAAACUUGGAAACUUGUGAAGCUACCUAAUCACCAAAGGGUAGUUGGAUGCAAGUGGAUCUUCAAGAAAAAGGAUGGCAUUCCGGGUGUUGAAGGUCCAAGGUACAAAGCAAGACUUGUGGCAAAGGGUUUCACUCAAGUGGAGGGGAUCGACUACAACGAGAUCUUUUCACCGGUGGUGAAGCAUUGUUCCAUAAGGAUACUUAUGGCUAUUGUGAAUCAAUUCAAUCUUGAGUUGGAACAAAUGGAUGUGAAGACCGCUUUCUUACAUGGUGACCUUGAAGAGACAAUCUACAUGGAGCAACCGGAAGGUUUUGUGGAGGACAAGUCUAAGGUGUGUCUUUUGAAGAAAUCUUUGUAUGGGUUGAAGCAAAGCCCUAGGCAAUGGUAUCGUCGGUUUGAUGAGUUUCUUUUGAAGACCAGUUUUGUGAGAAGCGGAUAUGAUUCUGUGUGUACAUGUUGAAGAAGAGUGAGAAAGACAUUCUCUAUCUUCUUUUAUAUGUGGAUGAUAUCUUGAUGGCAAGCUCUAGCAAGGAUGAGAUUAUGAAGCUCAAGGAGAGGUUAAAUGGUGAAUUUGAGAUGAAAGAUCUUGGUCCGACAAAGAGAGUUCUUGGAAUUGAUAUCGUGAGGAAUCGUGACAAAGGCGAACUUUUCUUAUCUCAACUUGGUUAUUUGAAGAAGGUGGUGGAGCGUUUUAGAAUGUCAAACUCUAAAACCGUGAGCACUCCCUUGGGUCACCACACAAAGUUGUCCAUACAACAAUGUCCUCAAUCCGAGGAUGAGAAGCAAUUGAUGGAAGGUACUCCCUAUGCAAGUGGGGUUGGAAGCAUCAUGUAUGGAAUGGUUUGUAGUAGGCCGGACUUAGCUUAUGCGGUUAGCAUUGUGAGUCGGUUUAUGGCAAAUCCGGGAAUUGUGCAUUGACAAGCUUUGAAGUGGGUAAUGAGGUAUUUGAAUGGGUCGUUGAAGGGCGGUUUGAAGUACAUAAGGGCAGCUCAAGAUGAAGACACUUUGGAGGGGUAUGUUGAUGCGGAUUAUGCGGGCAACGUGGACACUAGAAAAUCCUUGUCGGGUUUUGUGUUUACUCUUUAUGGCACGGCUAUUAGUUGGAAGGCAAAUCAACAAUCCGUGGUGGCAUUAUCUACAACUCAAGCGGAGUACAUCGCACUUGUUGAAGGUGUGAAGGAGGCCAUAUGGUUGAAAGGGAUGAUUGGUGAGUUAGGAAUUACUCAAGAAUGUGUGAGGAUACAUUGUGAUAGUCAAAGUGCCAUUCACUUGGCAAAUCAUCAAGUGUAUCAUGAAAGGACAAAGCACAUUGACAUUCGCCUGCACUUUGUUAGAGACAUGAUUGAAUACAAAAGAGAUUGUGGUUGAGAAAGUGGCAUCGGAGGAUAAUUCGGCGGAUGUGUUCACCAAGUCAUUGCCUAGAUCAAGAUUCAAGCAUUGCUUGGACUUGAUCAAGUUUGUCGAAGAGUAAUUCCCUUUUGGAGAGAGCAGCAUGGUGGUUGAUGGUUAAACUGACAUCACCACCAAAUUAGAAGUCAAGGUGGAGAAAUGUUGAUAUUGGCUUCAAAUUUGUGGUCUGGAAGAACAGAGAAAUCGUGACACGAUUUUGGCAUCGUGACACGAUUUCAAGUGGUCGUGAGCUAGUUUGCAGGACGCCAAAUCGUGGCACGAUCUUGGAAAAUCGUGACACGAUUCAGAAACUUGCUCGUUAAGUAUCACUGAUAAGGACUUGUCAACCUUGGGUCCGUUGCAGAUCGUGACACGAUCUAAGGAAAUCGUGGCACGAUUUCUUCAGGGGAAGACUAGUAUAUAUUGUGUUCUUGUGCUUUUUUGGAGAAAGAGAGUUUAAGAGAGCUUGUAUGAGCUUUGAGAGAGAACUUGGAUAACAAAGGAGGGAACCAAUGGGUUAAGUGUCUUUGUUGAGAGUGUCUCUUGGGUUGGGAAAAACAUUGUAAUCACUUUGGGUUUUAGGGUUCAUAGUGUGAGAGUGGGAAAAUACCAAAGGGUAGAAUCUAGGGUUUGUUCAUAUGUAAAGCUUGAAGGCUAGAGUCUUGUAACCUUUUGUAACACUUUCUCAUAUUGGAUUGGAGAGCUGCUCUCUCCCCCAAAUUAGGUCAUAUUGGCUGAACUGGGUCAACAAUCUUCUCGGUGUUUUGUUCUUUCUUUUACCGCUUAUCUUGUUUUGCUUUGAUAUCUCUUUGUGUGGUUUUGCUAUACACUAGUCUAGGGCUGUUUUGUUGUUGUAUGCUUGGAGACCAUUUGUUCUCAUUGAUUAUCACUAUCACUUGCUCCACACAUCAUUGUUUAUUUCAUUGGUGUGAAGGUUUAUUUGAAACCGGAUUCACAACAUCCCGCUUACCUGUUUCACGAUGUUUUAUUUGAUAACGUAGAUUGUACACGUUUAAGAUGGAGGGCAUUUUGGUACUUGCACGCAGAGGGUAUAUAAGUGUUUCUUGUCCCAAAUAAGCCACUUUCAAUUGUACUUUCUCUCUCUAAGUUGCAAAAUUCAGAUUUCCUCUCACUCUCUCUCUAGUGUUUCGAUCCCUCCUUCAUCUCUCCACUCAAUCUUCCCAAAGUUCUAUUUCUAGAAGGAUUAUGGUUAAAGGAUGGAUUCCACAUGAUGCAAGCCAGCUUUAGCUUGGGUCAAGCUUUAUUUACGUUGAAUCUUCAUAUCUAGAGAUUUCAUGGCUAGGGUUUGGGUUUUCAAGAUGAAGUUGGAUCAAUAUCAUGCUUUAAGAGUUGGUGAGCUUGUAAUUUGAGCAUUUAGAAGCAAUGUUAAGCAAGGGAUAAAAAUAUAGGGUUUUGUUGUUUUGAGCUUGGAGCUUAAAGGAACAUCGAAAUUGAUUAGGUGAGUUCUUAGAUAGUUUCCCUACAUUUGGGUUUGUGAGAAUUGUCCAUUGCAAGCUUGUUCAUGAAUUAGAAAAUUGGCAACUUUUGUGCCAUAGAUUGCCAAAAUCUGUUAAUGUUUGCCAUACAUUGUUUUCCUAUUGUUUUUAUGAUGUUAUGGAAGAAAUAUGUGUACUAGGAAGCUUGAAAUUGAGGUUUUUGAUGCAAAAUAUGAUUUCUGCAUUUUUAGAAAUGAUGAAACACGCUAUAAGCGAGUUAACUCGCUUAAAGUGUGUAAACACCAGAGGCUACUCGCUUGUGGCGAGUUGGGGGCGAGUUUGACAACAUUUUGAAUGUUGUCAACUCGUCCUGUGGUCCAGCAAGGGCCGUCUGAGGCCCGUUUCUUGCAGUCUUUUCCUAAACCAUGAACCCCUCAAUGACAAGUGUCUAAUGUACCUUAUUAUCUAAGUUUCUAAAAGGGAAAUACUAGUUGAGCAAAUAUUAAUCAUUGAUCGACAACAUAUGGCACACGAGAGUAAGAUAACAUUAGUUAUGUUUGGGUAGCAUAUAUCCUCUAAGCAUUAGGAAACUUGUAGAGCCUCAACUUAGAUUGUCAAGAAUAGCCAUGUUACUAAGCAACCUAAAAACAUUAGGUCAUGUAUGAACAAGAACAACUAUGUAUCUUUAAUUAUCCACGCCAGGGGGAUAUGAGCUUGAGGUAUCAAAAAAACCCUAGUUUAGUUGAACGACUUUUUCUCUUAUGUCAAUACUUUCUCUUCCUUUUCCCUUUUGGUGCACAUGUUUUCUUCUUCUCAUUUUUUUUUCUUCUUCUUAAUAUGAUUAUUUGUUUUUUUUAUUUUAAAUUUUAGAGCUUUUUAAAUUUAGAUGAAUACAUGAAUAUUUCAAUUUUUUUCUAAUUUCUAUGUGGAAAUUGAUUUAAUCUUUUUGUGUAAAACUAAGAUUUUUUUUUUAUUUUAAAUUCUUUAUUUCUCUGUUCAAUAAUUUCUUUAUAUGUGUCUUGGUUACUUCUUUUUUAUGUCAUGUAUUUAGUUCCUUCGCAAAUUAAAACGAACGACGUAAGAAUUAUGAAUUUUGUAUAGAUUAUGUAUGGAUGUUUAAAAGUUGAAGUUUUUUUUUUUUUUUUGACAAAAAAAGUUGAAAUUUUUUAUUAAUUAAAAAAAUUAUUCUUUCUACAAAAAAUAAAUAAAUUCAAAAAUUCAUAGAUACCCAUGAAUACCCAUGGAUGCCUCAACACCCACGGAUCAUCUGUAUAGUAGUAUAGUGGGUACCUAGAUGGGUACUGUGACACCCUAAAUCCCAAAAAUAAUUAUUACUAUUAUUGAUUCGAAAACAGAGUUUGAUUCGCAGCGGAAAAUGUCAAAUAAAAACUUUUCUAUUAAUAUAAGAAUUCUUCCACAAAAUUUAGGAUACCACAUUGACUCAUAAAAAAAAAACAUAAUUCACAUUUCACUUCCUUAAAAAUUUUAAUACUAUUAAAAUCAAAUAAUUUGCUUUUAAAAUACUUUCCUUUACAUCAUAGAUAAUGGUUAUCUUGUACAAAACUAAAUAAGUAAGCAUAUCCUUUUUCCCCGUGUCACUAUCAGAGCGGUACUUUUCCCUAAAAUAACAGACGACACAAGACAAGUCUUCAUGGAAGGCAUGUACUUGACUCCAAGACUCAUAACCUAUAAAACUACGGUUUCGCAACCGCAAGGUCAAGCCAGCAAAUACAAACAACGAAGGGGUGAGUUUCAAGAACAUGUAAUGGCAUAAAAUAAAUGAGAAGAACACGUAAGAAAUUAAGUCAAGGUCGUGUCACAUCACAAACAAAUUAUUCAGAACCUUGAAGGAUAUACUAUAUCAUCUCAAUCCAUAUUAGUAGAAAAUAUCAUUACAGCCUAAGAACCAAAAUCUUCACAAACACAAUGUCACAAUUCAAUUCCAAACUAGUCACAACACAUAUAGUCACCAAUAACCAUCUUCAUAAGAACAUCAACAGAUAAUCACAUCAUCUCACAUAAUUACACUUAUUCACCAAAUACAAAUCAUUGUAAGUUUUAUGCAUAUGGACUCAGUCCUAAGACCUAUAUGAAUGUGGUACCACACCUACUCAUCAUUUUGCCAGAGUUUUAUUGCUGGACUUUUCUCAACAUGGUUGUCAGAGAUAUGUUACUGAACUUUUCUCAACAUAGUUGCCAGAAGUAUAUUACUGGACUUUUCUCCCGCAUAUGCAAGACAUUAUGCUCUAGACUCUAUAUGGACGCAUGAAAUUAUUUUCAACAAGUAAUUUCACGUAUACACAUCAACAAUCAUUCACAUUUAAUGCAAAACUCCCCUAACAUGCAAGAUCCUAUUGCAAAAACACAUCAUCAUCAUAGAAAACAUCCUCAUCAUGAUCAUACAUCGUCAUUCACACCACAUAUUUUAAUCAACAUCAUUAUUCUCAUCAUCAAGCAAUUUUAAGCAUCGUCAUUUGCAUCAUCAUUAUAAAGUAUAUAUCGUACAUCUCCUCUUCCAUAAAUUCGACAUCAUCAUUAUCAUCAUCAUAUACAAUAGACAUGCAUUUUAUCAUCACCAAUAUAAUUAGUAACAUCAUCCUCAUCAUUAUUAUAAAAUGAACAUCAUCAAUAUAUCUGAAUAAGGUCAAACCAAAGCUAAAUGAAAGUUAAUACUCAUAUCUACAAUUUUAAUGAAGAAACCUAAAUCCAAUUCGAUACUGAGAUGGGUGAAAAGUUGGUUUCCCUAAAACUAGACAGAGUGCACGACCGUGCUGAUCUCUGUGUAGUAUUUUGAUCAUAACUCAAGGUUUUGACGUUCUAUUGGAGUCACUCUAAAGUCGCAUGAAAACUGACAUCUAUAUCUACAACUUUUAUGUUUUCAUCGAAACCUAGUUCAGUACAUAAAAUAGUCGAAAAUUGGUUUUCCUAAGCCUCGGAAAAGAGCACGACCCUGCUGAUCUAUGUGUAGUAUUUUGAUCAUAUCUUGUGUUCUAGAUUUUGAAAUGAGGUCAUACCAACGCUAAAUUAAAGAUAACACAAAUAUCUACAACUUUCAUGAAGACACUGAAUCCUAAUUCUGAGCAGAAAAGUCCCAGUUUUUAUUUUUGUUUUCGAUUACAGAAAUCGCAGAUUUUCUGCGAUUUCACCUUAGGGGACCUUUCCUAACUUCGUUUUCGAUCCUAAACUCGCCAAACUCAACCCUAAUCUUCACUCUACGAUUAACCUAUCAUUAAAACACUAAUCAUUUGUUAACCUACCGAAUUGUUCACUCUUUUCAAGACUAAAAUUCAAUUAAAAAAAACAAAACUAGUUUUCCGCAAUUCUCAUCUUCAUCUUUUCAAUUCGUUCAUCAUCAUUCUCUCAUAAAAAUUCACAUCAUAACAGUAACAACAUUUUAAAAUUUAAGUCAACCUUCUCCUCAUAGAUUAAGAUACCCUAUAGUGCAAAGAUUCUCCCCCUUACAUCUAAUCUAUCCCCUCGUUGGCCUAAGAUACUCCUUAAGAGUGUCAUCUUCAACAUAAGCUGGAACCAUCACUACUUGUCAUCUAAAGAAUAACAUCAAUGCUUAUCCAUAUCAAAUCGACAUCUCGUUCAUCAACACUUAUCAUAUUUUCAAUCACACAUAAUCAUAUUUUCAAUCACACAUAAUCAUAUUCCAAUAGUCAUCAUAUCAUACCAAAAUUUACAUUCAAAUACAUAACAUCACAUAUAUAUCAAUCAUUAAAUAAUAAGUUAUCAAUCUAAAUAGUUGCAGCAAAUCAAACAUGAGCACACAAAUUUAUCCAUGACUUCAAAUACCACAUAUUCACAUAAUUUAAAUCAAGCAACACCUUAAUAAUGUUUCUAAUUAUUCUUUUAACCUCCCACAUCUAAAUUUGCACAUUAAUUAAUUAUCCUCUCAAAGGACUACAUCCGUCGUGGUGAGCCCCGAAUGAACUUUGAAAAAUACGACUUUCCCGUUCUUCUCAAUUAAUUUACACUCAUGAUCUCGAACUCUUCUCUCUCACCCCAUACCUGAAUUGAAGCAUUCACAAGAGACAACGAACUCUACGGUAGGAAACAAAUUAUACCGUCCCAAUUAUGAUUGCAUCUCCUUUUUGAAAACGUAGUGGCUAAUAACCCAUAAAUUCCUCUUCUGCCUCCGCCUCGACCAUGAUCUCAUCAUUGUCUUCUUCCAACGUGGGUAUUUCAAAACUAUCCAUAGGUUUGCGUGAAACAUGAAUUGGGGUGAUGAUUGUAGCGAGUUCUUAUUGAUGGCAUGAUAGGUUUAUUGUGUGAGUCUAAAAAAAAUUGAUGUGGGUUUAUGUGAAAAGCUAUGGUUUCCUCUCCUAAGGAGUGAGUAUCGUAUCCCAUAGGAUGAAAAACUCAAUAUGACUCCAAUUGAUUAUUGAAACUAACUAAGACCUUGAAUUGGGAACAAUAGUAAAACAAUGAUACGUAACCUAUGGAAAAAGACAAGUCACCUAAUCAUAACCAUUGCCACCAACGAUCCAAGAAGAAAAUAAGAAUAACCUUGAGUCGACAAACCGAAUCGGAAAGGCAAUAUAGAAGGUUCACGGCUCUAAUUUAUUUUUAAUUUCUUCUCAUGUAUUCACUAUUAGGUUUAAGUUAAAAGCAUACAUAUAUACUGGUGGUGUUAGGAAAUUAGAGACUGACUGGGUAAUUGGAUCACAAAUAUGUAUAUGCUAUUUAGCCCUCUAUACUCACUAAUUGCUAUUAUUACUAUUAUACUAUUUUAUUUUAUUACAAAUUAUUCUCUUGCUUUCAUUAAAAUAAAUUCAAUUAUUAAGGUUUAGCUAAUAAUAAUAAUAAUUUAUCAAAAUAUUAAUGAAAUUCGUUAAUAUGAAAUUUGGGGUGUUACAAGUAUGCCGCACAUGUAUCAUAUUUAUCAAACGGGGCAGAAACGGGUAUCAUACUACCAUUCACAUUGUAAUAUAUAUACGACCAUAAGAGAUCAAUGGAAAGACAACGUCUAAAGUCAUGUUACAAUAACAAACAAAUGAUAAAUACUUUGAUGCUCAAAUGUUCAUACAUUAGUUUGCAAAUCCUCCGCCAAAGUCACCAGCAUACUUGCCUCUCAUGAUGUAUUUCGAUCCAUUCAAACGGCGACGCUCCUGUUGGGGAGGACUGGGGGAGCGCGGGGGACCGUCCACAUCGAGGCUAGAACAACCACACAAGCAAGAGACCACACUCUUACCCAAAACCUUAACGCAAUGAGUUUAUGGGUCCUCUUAUUUAUAAGGUGUUCAACCUUUACUAUUUUAUCCGAUGUGGGACAUAUAACUCACACUUGCAAAUCAACAGCUCCAACGUCUCUCCUCCUUGAUGAACUUAUCGUGGAAUUCUUGUCACGACUCCCUGUCAAAACUCUUAUGCAAUUCAAAUGUGUUUGCAAAUCAUGGAAAACCCUAAUUUCUCAUGAUCCUUCCUUUGCCAAAUGCAUCUUCAGCGAUCGCGGAACACACACCUCGCACUGGUUUCAUACCAGACCAUGUCUGAGGACGAGUCUGAUUUUAGUGUCGUACCUUUCUCAGUAAGUAAUUUGCUCGAGGCUCCGUUAAUCAUCGUACCCUUAUAACCUUACUACCUAUUGAGGAAUAUUGCCAUUCCCAACGAUCCUUACUACCUUUUGAGUAAUAUGGAUUGCAGUUUCAUGGUUGGUUCCUGCAAUGGAUUGAUCUGUUUCCGUAGUUAUUCUUACACACAUGGGCAUGAAGAAUUUUGGUUUCGUUUUUGGAACCCAACCACUAACACAUUAUCUCAAGAAUUAGGGCAUUUAACUACGUUUUUUAGGUUAACAUUUGGAUAUGAUAUUUCAAACGACACUUAUAAGGUGGUGGCCUUUUCUAUCGAUGAGGUCAAAGUUUUCAGUUUAAGUGAUAAUGUUUGGGAGAGAUAUUCCUACUUUUCCCGUUGUUCCUUUUGACCUCGAGGCUAGUCCUUGUCAUCCAAUAUUCGUGAUUGAUGGAGUGUAUGUGAGUGGCAGUAUUAACUGGUUGGCUAUUCAAAAUAAGACCGAAUAUGAUUAGAAUGAUAUUUCAAUCGACCAAUUUCUCAUUGUUUCACUUGAUCUAACUACGGAGACAUACCGUCGUUUCUUGCCACCUCAGGGAUUUGUUGAAGUACCAUCUGUUGAGCCAUCUGUUACCAUUUUGAUGGAUUGUCUAUGUUUUUCUCACCGUUUCAAAGAGACCCAUUUUGUUUUAUGGAGGAUGAUGGAAUUUGGAGUUCAAGAGUCUUGGACUCAAUUCCUCAAAAUUAGCCUUCAGGACCUUCAAAUUGAUCAAAAUUUGCACUUGUUCUUAUUUCCAUUGUACCUUUCUGAGAGUGACAACACACUUAUAAUGGCAAUCAAUCGACAAGGCUAUGAUGAUCAUAACAGCCAUGCAAUUAUCUAUAAUUGGAUAGAUAAAAGGGUUGAACAAAUUACAUCUGGUGACAAUGAAAUAUUGUGGUUUUAUACCAAGGAUUUUGUUGAAAGCUUAAUUUCAAGCUCUUGAAAGUAAGUUUCUCUUCAAUGAUUUAAUUUUUUGAAUUAAUUUUAAGUGUUUUAUAAUCAUUGAACUGAAUGAGUUUGUUUUCGGUUGUUUUUAUAUAUUAUUAUAACUUCAAGAUAGUCCUCCCAAAACGAAAUUCAACGACUCUUGAAUGAUAUUUAUUUGGUUGCUUUUCAGAACAUUUUAUCCAAAACUAAUGUAUUAAAUUGUUCACAGUUUUGGAGGAUAAAACAUUAUUUAAAAUUGAAAUGCAGGGGAAAAUUCUUAAAGCGAGAAACAUGUCAAUAGGUUGGUUACAACUAUCUUUAGACUUGAGCAAAUUUAUUAUCUAUUGAUUUAUAGAUAGAUUAGAAAAUGAAACAUCAUUUUCUCUUUAAACUGAUAUUAAUUUCAUUUAAUUCAAAACUUUGUUAUAGAUAAUGAUUGUGCUAUACUUUUUUUUUUUUUUUUGUGGUGGCCGGGAUUUAAACCCGGACCUUGCAUAUAUUAUGCAUUACUUAUACUUUGUAAUUGUAUUGUACAAACGUUCAAAACGUCUAAGCGUAGGUUUGUUAACCCACCUCUAUUCUUACUCUUGGGCGAACAGAGCUUUGGAAUGAGUACCAACUAUUUUUUAGUAGAAUAAAUUGAGUUAACCAACAAGGUUUGACUAUUUCGGUGUAGUAGAAGAGGCUAGACUCCCAUAACGUGGAGAACCAAUGUCUGAAUCUUAGCUUGAAAAAUGUAUCCACAUUUUAGUGGGAUGUACGUAGAGGGAACCUGUGGGAAACAAAAAAGAAGUUAUCCUAUUAAUACGUUUUUCAAGCACGAAAACGCUUUUGCAAAUAAUUGUAUGUGCGCGCCUACACACACUUGAUUUUGUUUUGUUUAUACUGGUUCUAGUAUAUCUAAACCAAUUUUGAACACGAUAAUUAUUUUAUUUCUCGCUUAUUUUUUUCACAAAAGAAUAUGGUUUCACUUUUAAGAAUUAUGCAAUCAUUUUGUGUUUUUGUUCUACAUUUUGUUUUUGAUGUUUCUCACACCUGUGUAAUAUGGGUCUUUCUUGAAUCAUAGGACCACAACCUCAACUUCAAGCACAUCUGGGAUUAUUGACAGUUGUUGCAGGAUGGCAGGAAGAAAGGGAAAACGAGUCUUUUUGGAUCUACAUUUUCUUCAGUUUUUGUACUCAUUUUGUAUAAGACAUUUAUGGUCCUCUUUAAAAGUGCGUUCGUAGAAAUUUACCGGAAAAUAUAUGUUGUUUUGCAACUAUACUGUUAUUUGUGUAAGGGAUAAUGGAAGUAUUUAACACUUGGUUAUUCAAGCACACAUUUUGCAUGACCAUUUGUGUAUAUUAGUAAUAUUUUUGUCGUUGCGCAACAAUACCAUGGUUUGAUGGCCUUUCUUUGGCAUUAUCUAGGAAUUUUUUCUAGGAUUUUAAUUGCUCUUGCUAUCAAGUAUUUUCACGCACUUAACUAUUUUAUCCAGUAGUGAAACCAUAGUAGAGGUGAGGUAUGCGUCAAGGUGCAGGUACGUAUAAUUACAGGGUCCUCGGCAAUUUGAUUUCUACACUUUUUCUUUUUUUCAGUUUCUUGCUUCGUGUUUUAAGCUUGGAAUGUAUGAAUUUUCACGACAAACUGGUUCUACAUGAAGGACUAAUAUAAAAGUAGUGUAUGCAUAUUGUUGCUAGUAUCUCCGUAGAUUCCUUGCGACCAGUGACAAAACCUCAAAGGCUAUUGGGCGAUUUUUAUAUCAGCAACUAUCACACUAGCCUAUGAUGAUGAUGAUGAGUGCUUGAUUUGACUCAACUCGAGGGAAGCCAAUUCGGAGGUUUAUAUUUGCUUUGUGAAUUUGUGCAGUCUCAAAUCGCAAUGCCUAUUGCCUAGGUAUGUAGCUGAUCAAUAUUACAUGCUUUAAUUUGUCUGUUAUAUCUAUAUAUAUUUUUCGUGCUCAAUAUUUGUGAGUUGCAUUUUAGUUUUGGUGGUCUCAAAUUAUACCCAUUUACUCGGAAAGGUUAAAUCGAGAAAUAAGACAAUGGGUUAGUGACACAUAAAACCCUAGCGGAAAUUUUACAACUUGGGUUUGUAUUGUAUAAACGAUCAUAUUGCUGAACGGAAUCACCUCGUUUUUACUUACCGGUGAAUAUGACUUUGGAUUGAAUACCAACUGAUUUCUAAUUGAAUAAAUUGAAUUAUAUCAUAUCACAAUUACCAUGUUAAGAACUAGGUUAUCCAUGUAGAUAUUAAGCAUAAAAAUGCUUUUGGUCAUUUAUUUAUGGCUUUCUUGAUGCUUCUUUUGGAUUUUUUGAAAGUGUUUAUAGAAAUUACCCACACUAUUUGUGUUGUUUCACAUUUGUAUUCCUAUCAGCUCUGUAACAGGGUCUCAAUCUUCAACCCACCAGAGACCACCGACCAGGCCAGCAGUGAAAUCUACGGCAGAUUCAGGAAAAGGAGGUCGUGCUGGAUGCUACUGCCAACCGUCACACCACCCAUGACCGUCGCUACAUUGAAGAAUGAGGAGGGUAGGGAGGGGUUUAUUUUUAUUUUUUAACAGUCAAAUUUAUUAAUAAUCAAGUCCCUGCACAAGACGGACAUGUACUAUCAAACAAAAACUACAAAACAAAGACGUCGUAUAACACCCACAGGAAAAACCAUAACAACUUCAAUACAUACACCAUCUAAACUAUGUGUGCCACCAACACCAAUAACAAAUCUAACAAUCAAAGCCAUAUUCAACACCUAAAUCAGAGCCAAACUCCCACCCUUCUCCGCAACUGACAUCUGAACAAAGUCCAAUGUUCUCGGUUUACUAAUAAACUAUACUAAUAAAAUGAACUUAUAAGUCAUUUUUGGUUGGGUUAAGUUCAUCACCAAACAAGUUCUUGAUGAAUUCUAGUUUCGGACAGUUAUCAUAUUUUACUUAUUUUUAAGCCAAAUACGAAUUAUGAGUGCCCCGUCUUGAUAAUCAAAUGAUUAAGACCAAACAAAUUAUUCAAUAGUUUUAAUUAAGUAAUUGUAUUUUGAAAUAUUAGCAUGUGACAUGAUAUAGAUAAAAGGGAUCCCUGACCAAAAAAAAAAAGAAUAAAAGGUAUCCUAAAUAAUGAUCCAAGCCCAAACCAUUGUCGAACCAUUACUUGACAUAAUAAUAUUUUGCAUGUGAUAUACUUGGCUUAUUGCAUGAGAUACACUUGGCUUAUUGCAUGAAUAACACUUGACUUGUUACGUGUGAUUAUUUUAAUUUCCAAUCUCAGUUUCUCCAAAUCAUGAUACCUUACCAUUUUUUUUUCUUUGUUCUUAAUAUAAUUAAAUUAAGGAAAAGCUGUCACUUGUAAUUGAAUUCAAAUAGUGGAUUCCUUUUCACAGUAUAAGUUUAAAUCACCCUAAAUAAUACAAAGGAGUCCUUAGUUUAGGAACUCGUCUUAUUCAUUCAAAUUAAAAGGUCCAAAUUUGGUAACAUUGUUUCACAACUAUUGGAAGAUACAAUAAGAGACUCAUAACCUUAAGCAUGAAUCAUAUGCUAGUACAUAUGAUUACAUGGUUUCAUAAUAAUUGAAAGGCAAACGAGGUUUAAUGAGGACUUCAAGAGGAGUAACUUUGAUGUUGGUUGUUUCCACAACAGCAGUCAUAUCAAUUGGCUCACUUGAUGUUUUCAAAACUUCAAAGGAGUGUAGAAAAUUUGCAAGAGUCAAAUACGCGGUUCGAAGGCCAAAGGAUAUUCCAGGACAAAUCCUUCUUCCACUUCCAAAUGGUAAAAACUCAAAAUGAUGACCCUUAACAUCAACAUCUUUAUGAGUUGUAAGAAAUCUCCCAGGCUUGAACUCCAAUGGAUCCGGCCAAACGCUAGGGUCAGUUUGGAUCUUCCACAAGUUCGUGAAUAGUCGAGUUCCUUUCUUCACAUGGUAGCCACCAAUGUUGCAAUCUUCUCUGAAUUCGCGAAUUCCAGAAAGAGGCGAUGCUGGAUACAACCUUAGUGUUUCUUUGACAACAGCUUGAAGGUAUACUAACUUGUUAAUAUCGGACUCGGUGAUGCAUAAUCUCUCUUUGCCAAUGUGGCGAUCAAUUUCUUCUUUAACUUUUUCCAAUGCAUGAGGAUUGUUCAAUAGUAAACACAAUGCCCAUAUGUGUGUAACACUGCUAGUGUCAGUUGCUCCCAAAACUAGUGCCUGCAAAGUUAAGUACAAAUUGUUUAACAUUUGUAUAAUUUUAUUGCACUUAUUUUUAAAUUUAAAUUUACAAUUUCAAACUUCGUGACAUGUUUAUACAUAAAUUUGACCAAGGGGUGGAUGCAGUUCGUUGGAGCGGUUCAUCUGGACUUAAGAAAAUGCACAUACAUUCCUAUAUAAUUUACGGUAUAAACUCCUUAUAUUUUUUUCGUUUUCGCACAAUUAAGAGGCACCAAAACUCAAAAGUUUGAACCCCUGGACCAGGGUUUGGAUCCGCUACUUUGACUCCAAUCAUAAUUUAUAUGGUAUCACUAUAAUGCGAUAAAGUUUGCAAUGAUUUGAAUCCAAGAUCGAAUCUGAUGGCUCACAUAAUUUAUUGAAUCAUGUGAUCAGGCUCGCCAGAAUCCAGAUCUAUUACAAUCAGAGAUCAUACAUUUGUUGUUGUCAAGUAAUCUAAACUUAAGUCAAUAUCAAAUGAAUUGAUGUUUAACUCGGUAAAUUAGUCUGACAAAUUCAAUACCGUUCUGAUAAAAUACGAAUACCAAAAGUGCAAUUAAAUAACGACACUAUCUAUGUAUAUUUGCAUGUGAUAAUACUAUAUACACAUACCAUUGUUGUGGCUUUGAUGAUAGUAUCCGAAUCAAACCCAUGAAUGUUUGUUCCGUCGAUUGUAGAAAGCAUAACAUCAAUAAAAUCAUGAUCCCCUUUACUCUUAUCAUCACCACCAUCUUCCCUUUUAUUCUUGUGCUCAUUCAACCACUCUGUCACAACAGUAUCCAACUCCUUAAAAUUCUCCUUCAUACUUUUCUCAUGUCCACCAAAAUCAAACCACCGCAAAAACGGAAUAGCAUCAGCAAUAGGAAAAACACCGAUCAAACGCAUAUAAUCCCUUAAAGCAUUCAAACACCGAUUUGCUUCUUCCUCUUUAACCAUCACACUCUCUCCAAAAUAUCUCUUCCCAGCAACCAUUCUAAGAGCAGUAUUAAAAGCCAACUCAUGAAACCACUUCUUCAUCUCCACAAGCAAAUAACCAUUUUCGUCUCUUUUAUUUUUCCAAAUACUAAAUAGCUCUUUGAUCGAAGUUUGAACUUCUGAGACACGGACAUGAGUUAAUAGAUCGAUCCGAUGGUUUGAGAGAAAACUUAGAGUAACGAUCUUCCUCAUUUCGCGCCAAAAGGGACCGUAGGGUGCAAAACCAAGCAUGGCAUGAUUAUAUGUCAUGUGCUUGAAUGCAACGAGGUUUGGACGAUAAGAUACAGCUGUAUCAUUUGUUGUGUAGCAUUCUUUUGCUGUUUCCCAGUUGUUUAUGACUAGAGUCGUUGCGGUGCCGAGUUUGAUGGUGAAAAUGGGACCAUACUUGUCUGCCAUGGCACCUAGGAGAUGAUGAGUUGCUUGAGAUUUGCUUAGGAGGGGAAGGUGGCCAAUUAUUGGCCAUGCACCAGCAACCAUUGGGGGUUGUUUGGUUUUGAUGGAUCUGGAGUGGUUGAAUAGAAUUAUGAAGAGAAAGAUUGCUGAAAGGAGGCCAAUUGCAAUUGUGUUUUGAGAGAAAUCCAUUGGGGUGUGUGAGUAUGAAGGUGAUGAUUCUAUGGAAGAUAUAAUAUGAGGGUUAAGAAGAAAAAUAAAAAGGUGAACAAAGGUAUCUCUCUUUAGUUUGAUGUUUAUCUAUAAUUCUAUUAUUCAAUAAUAUAAUAUAUUUUUAUUAAUUUUUUAAAAAUAAAACCAAAAUAUUAAUGAGUUUUGUCUAUGGAUACUGGUAUCCAACCAAAUUUUGAAGUGCAUAUAAGGCUCUGUUGGUAAAAAAAAAAAAACAAAACUAGUUUAUAGCGAAUAAAUUUAUAGAAGGUGACUUAUAAGUUAGCUUAUAAGUGAUAGUGGAUAAGCUAACUGAUUCAAUUUGUAUUGUUUGAUAAAAUUGACGAUUUAAGUAGUUUAGAAUAUGAAAUUACAUACAAAAAUGUGUAUUUAAUUAACAUUUAAUUUUUUUCAAUAAAGCUUGCAGGAGUAAAAUUGAGAUAAAAAAUGAUAAAUUAUAAACAACUUGAUUUAGCAUAUCACAACCGGCAACAAGCUCAUAAAAUAACCUAUAAACUCGAGAGAAAGUGACUGCUACUAAACGGAACAAUUUUUUUUGUCAAAUGAGCUUAAUAGACAUAAAUUAUCAGCUCAAAAAAAUGGCUUUACCAAACAUACCCUAAGACUUUACCAAUUAUAAAAUAUCAAAAUCAAUAAAAUUAUUAAGUUUUGUCACUUUAUGAACAUAUUUUUACGUAUACUUUUAUUGAAAGUUGUGAAAAAUUAAAUGCAUAUAGACAAAACAUUUAAAUGGUGGUAUAAAGGUUUGAAGAUUUUUUUAGGUCCAUCUAUAUCUCUUUAGGCCCUUGAAAUUAUGAAUUUGACCUUAUUAUCAUGCCUGGUACAUAGCAUUAUAUAACUACCGGAGAUCAGGUAUUUAACUAUUGGAUGUUCAUUUUUAAAUUUUUUUUUUUGUUAACUUUGGUAGAUAUAUAUCUGUUUGUUAGUUAUGGUAUUUAAUUCUCGAAUAUUCUUCUAAACCUUGCGAUUUUUAAGUGAUUUUUGGUGUUUUCAUCACAAUCGAUAUAAUAAAUGGUGUCAAACUUCACUCAGUUGCGAUCAAUUAAGAGGCAAACCUUACUUCUUUCUUUCACAUUCAGUUUGUUCAUAACUUUAUAUACCAAUGGUAAAAAAACAAAAAUUUAGAUUUAUCUACAUAUUUGUUAGUAUUGUAAUGCUUUUUUUUUUUUACACCAUAAUGCUUUUGUUCACACAUUCUUCUACACCAUAAUGAAUUUUUUUUUAAACUAUUUUAUUAUUUGAAUGAAUUGUUCACAGCAUAAUGAUUUUUUUUCCUACACAUUUUAUUAUAUUAAUGCAUUUGUUUACACAUUUGCUUAGUAUUUUUAUGAUUUUUUUACUAUAAUUGUUUUUUUUUAUGUACGUAUAGAUAUGGUUGAACUGGCUAUUGUUCCAACGCCUGAUCCAGAGGUCUUUUCCGUUGAUAUUGUGGAAUAUUUUAUUACGAAAGAGAAAAAGAAGUAUGAAGAUAUAGACGAAAUGAUUAACUGACUCGUUGUCAAGCAAUAAUGGCCGAAUUUAGGCAUAUAAUAGAUAGAUCCUAUAGUGAUUCCAAACGAGAAACCCGAAGCUCGUUUUAGCUUGUGAAAGAAGUGGAGACUAUAAAGGAACAAAGAAGAAGUCAAAGUGAGGAGGCGCAUGAUCAAGGGAAUGUGGGUGUCCCUUUAGGUUGCCUGGUUAAUUUAGUGCAAAAAAACUUUGGAGUCUGAAUCUUGUUUUAAGAUUGCAUGAUCAUAAGAUGGAGUCAAAGUGAGAAGAUAAUAAGUUGGCUGGUUGUUGAUAAGUGUCAGAAAGUUGUUAAACAUACAUUACAUUUUAGAUACUUUGGUUACUUGUUUUGCAAGUUAUCUAAUGAAAAGCUCAAAAAUAACGAAGAAUUGUCAGUUUAUGCUUUUUAUACCUCAUACCAACCUUUUGUGCAGGAAAAUGCUUGCCAAGAGACUUAGAAAGAAAGGAAACAUGAAGAAGCACAAAGAUAAGCUCGACAUGGUGAGUCCAUAGCGAGAACAGGGCGAGACAAGUCAGAAGAGAACCAAAUCAUGAAUCCAAGGGCGUAGCCGAGCGACCUAAAGACGAAGCCAUGGCAACAAGGCUCGCCACAGCGAGCAGGAGGCGGAAGAAAAGAGAGGAAAGUCAGAGAUCUCCAUGAAGGUAGGAAAAACACAACAAGGGGGGAUGAAUUGUGUUUCCUUUUUCUUCUUUUUAAUUAAGUUCAGAGUUCAGAGUCUGAUAGAGUUCAGAGUUCAGAGUCAAAUGCAGCAAAUAUAAAAGAUAUAUAUAUAUAUAUAUAUAUAUAUAGAGACGAGAGAGAGAGACAAACAAUUAUCAUGGUUCCUUCCACAAUUCGGAAGUAGUCCAGUCCCCCUUGCACUUCCAAGGAGAUUUUUCACUAUAAUCACACAAGAUUACAAAUGCUCAAGCCACAAGCAAGAGACUUCAAAUACUCAAGCACACAAGCAAGAGAUUUUCUAUGCUCAAGCACAAAAGCAAGAGACUUCCUAAACAAACAAAUUACAAAGAAUAAGUUUGGUUGUACACUUGAUAUACAAUCAAAGGUGUUAAAAAUACAAAACAAUUCAAACUCUAAGACUAAAGAAUUUAUAAGAUAUAAAAAUUGAUAAGAAAUUCUAAGUGUUUUGAUGCACAACAAUUUCAAAAGAGUUUUGGCACAAGUUAAAAUGUUGUAGAUGUAUGAAAGAGACGUUGUAGAGGUGCCAACACUCAAAGAGUCGUUGUAGAAGCUUGAUCAAUCAACAUUGAUUUGUUGCUUGAUAUGGUUAAUGUCUUAUGAAGGAAUAAUUUGAAAUCCAUUCCUUGAUAGGGAAUUGACUGUUCCAUUCCAAUAGAGACACAACUGUAGCUUGUACUAUGCGCAUGAAAUGUUGGAGUAGUGGAGGUAGUGGUUGUACAAUUGUAUUAUUAUCCUUCACUGUCCUUUCUCUUUGGAUAAGCAUCCAUAGCCUUUUAAUUCAUCAGAAUAUUCGUUGUUUCAGUCUUUUAUUCCUUCUGCAUAUUUGUGUCUUCAAAUAUCCAUAAUAACUAGCUCUAGGUUCUUCACUUCAGCUUCAGAUGAUCUUCAGAUUCUUGAUGAUCUUCAGACUCUAACUGUUAGCUUCUGGAUAGACUUCAGACUCUGACUUCAUCAGAUUCUGACAUGAAACUAAGCUUCUCUUCUAAAUUCCUUUCCUCUAAUUUGUUCUUCCAGAACCAAUGCUUUUCUUUAAUACAUAUAAAUUUUAGUCUAUGGUCCUUCACACUUGAACAAAUAUUAGCAUAUCCAAUUGAACUUUUAAUACCUUGUUAUCAUCAAAACUUAAGAGGCAUUGCUUAAACUCAUUUUUUCCAACACACCAUAUUUUAGAAGUUCUAUGCGUGGCCAAGCGACGCCAUGGAGAGCUUGCUCUCCACGGCGAGCCCAGAGCGACCAUGAGGAACACCAAGUCAGAGAGCCAUGAAAUCAAGAGAAUCAGGGCGUGGCCAAGUGAGCAUAGCCCUCUCCAUGGCGGUCAAAGGAGGUUUCUCGCCACUUUGCUUACAUGGAAGAAACCCAAUGCUACAUAAAGCCUCGCUCGCCUUGGCGAGCCUCCAGUCGCUAGGCGAGCAGCUACUUAUCAGAAAGAGUAUAAAAGUUGCUCCUUCAUUUCUAGCCAAAUAUAACUUGUACUUUUAGAGAGAGACAGUGACGAAUUUAAAAGAUAAACACAAAUCAAGAGUGUUAGAGGAUGGAUUCAACAAGAUUCAAUUGAGAAAUCAACAUCUUGAUAUGCAUUCCAUCCAUUUCUUCCAAUUUUGCAAGGCUACCAUGAUAAUGAGUAGUUAAAUCUCAUUUGUUGGGAUUAAAGGUAUUUGAUCAAACUCAAUAUGUAUUCUUUAUGAUCUUAGUAAUAUAUGAUUCUAGUUGUUCUUUAAUAUUGAUGUUAUCAUGUUUGAUUUAUGAUUUGAUUUGUUAUUCAAAACUACUUUUUGAAUCAAGAUAUAGGAUAAACAUCUAUUAAACCCUAAAUACUAGAAAUGGAUUUAGGUUUUUAUAUCCACAUCUAGUAUCAAGUCUUAAUGCUAUUGCAUUGUUUAAUAGACCGAGAAAUCGUCAAUUAAACAUUAUGAUUGCACUCACGACAUUUUUUAGACAUGAACAAUGUUGUCGAAUGAUACUUGGUAAUAUUGAUUGAUAGUUAUAUGCUUGAUCAAGAGAAUAUAUGCGACGUUUGGUUAAUGAAAUCUAAUCCCAACAGUUUUACGUCUUUGUUUAACUUAGUUUAUUUACCUCAUUAUAGUCCGAUUAGGAUUUCGCAACAAACAAUUUUCAAAACCCUUAACUAAGAACGAUAACCAUUGUUGAACGGCUUACGAAUAUCGUACUAGUCCCUAUGGAAACGAUAUAAAAUUAAACAUACAUACUUUUGAUACUACAUCAAUCGUUUAACUGAAAAAGUGACAGAGAUUGUCUGAGAUAUGAAAUUUUUUUGUGAUAAAACUAAAGAAAAAUAAUUGUUGGAUUUGAAAGGUAGAUGGAAAGACAAUAUGACAACUGGCAAACAAAUUUACAAUGCACGUCAUAGAUAUAAACUUAGUAUCAGAGGUUCGAGAACGACUAGUGAGUCAAAAAAAAUUAUACAAGAUAUAUUUUUUGCACAUACUAAACCUAUGAAAUUAUUUAAUACAUUUUCUACUGUAUUGGUGAUGGAUACCACUUAUAAAACCAACCAAUACAAAAUGUUGUUGUUUGAGAUUUUUUGUUUGACCUCAACUUAGAGGAUAUAUAAUGACGGGUUUCCUUUUUUAACUAGUGAGAAAGAGAAAUUUUUUACUUGGGCUCUACUAGAGUAUGUUACUCUGUUGAAGUGUAAAUAAAAUUUUGAAUACAAAGGUGAGAAAGAAAAACAAGAAGGGUGGGGGGGAUUGUCUAGGAUUUAUAUGAAAAUCUUUUUAGGAGUUUUGAAAAAAACGAUAAUCAGAGAGUAAAAGAAGAGUGACAACACAAACAAAUUAUCCUAGUUCACCUCACAAUCUAAGGUUAGUUCAAUCCCCUUGCACUUCCAAGAGACUUUUCAUAAUUAUCACACAAGAUUCUCUAACACACAAGUCAGAGACUUCCGUGCCUCACACAAGAGGACUUAUACAAUUAGAGUUUAAUAAAAGAUUUUGCAUGUUUUUACACUUUAGAACUCAAAGAGCGAAUAAUUAACUUUAAGCUUAAGAAACUUCAGACACUUAAGAAAUUUUAAGAUAAUAAGUUUGUAAGAAUUUUCAUAGUGUUUGAGUGCUUUUAAAUUUGACAGAAUGUUGGCACAUGUAUAUUAUUUGUAGUCUCUUAAUCUAUUAAAAUUGCUUAGGUUCCUAUAUAUGAGAGAAAUGAAAGAUCUAUUUUUUAAAGAUUGUCAACUCAUCAAAAUCUUCCUUCAUAAGCUUUGAUUCAGAUUUAAAAACUUUGCCUCGAUUGGGUAAUGUCGUUGAAUAGUACUAGGAGAAUCCUUUGCCUCUUAAGGAAUAAUUUGUUACAUCAUUUUUGCCAUUAAAGUUCUUUGUAUGUUUUUGCAUGUGUUCAGAAGCAGACAAACAUUACUACCAAAGCUUGAAAGCGACCUUCCAUCAUCAGAAGACAAACCUAGUAAGAGUCACCAAGACUGCUGACAUCGUCAGAGCUUGUUUCCAUCAGAGCUUAUUCUUAUCAGAGUCUUUAGAACAUCUUCUAAUCGGAGCUUUGACUUUCUGUUGAACUUUCUUCAUAUCAACAUCCAAGUUCUCAAAAGUUUCACAUGCUUUUCUUGAGUACGAUAAUGCUUUCCUUGUGCUCAGAACUUGAUGUAUCUAAACCAAAAACUUGACUUUGAAGUCAAAAUUUAAAUACAUAGUCUUGCACACUUGAACACACGUUAUAGUACCAAAUUGCUUUUCAUACAUUGUUAUCAUCAAAAUUUUAGAGACAUUGUUCUAAAACCCACUAUGGUUCAACGGAAGGUAAUUUUUGCUGAUAGGGAUACCACAUAAUGAAUGAUGUUUCCAAAAUCUUUUCAACAUCUACUACUUUAGUGUGUGAAUUUCAUAUUUUAAAGAAAGUGACAACUAGAUGCAUUUUUAUUGCAAAGUUAAAGAUUUCAAAGGGAAACAUGUGAAGUCCUCGGAUUUGGUUGACACCAUCAUGAUGAUGUUAUUGUAUUAGAACGUAAUCAACAUGUUCAUAUUCAAACACAGUUGAAUGCAAUUCAAGUAUGUUAUAAAUUUAUAAGAAAUUGUAUAUUCAACUUUAUGACAUAAGUGUAUUAUUUUAAAUUAUCAUCUCUUAAUGUCAUUUUUUUGUAGUUUGUAGGAAAGAUUCAAUAAAGCUUAUUGCAAUGUGAUGUUCUGAAACUAUAUCGUUGUCUCUGCUGAUUCAAAAGAUUUAGACAAAAGGUGCUGAAAAAGGUGCAUAAAAGGGGAACAAAUCGACUUUAGAUGAUAGUUCUACUACUCGGGGGUGUGUUGAUGCACAAUUUCUAGAUAGUCAGGCUUCACAGACAAACCCUUCAUUACAAAAAAAGAAAAGUGUGAAUGUGGAUAGUCAGGCUUCUCAGUGCUCGAUACCAACACAAUAUAUUCCUUAUAUUUAUCAUAUUCCUAAUGUUAUGAAACCUCAUAUUGAAAAUAUUGUGAAUGUGGAUGGUGAUGGUUACUGUGGUUAUCGAGUUUGUAGCUAAAAGUCUUGGAAUAAUAUUAUUACUUAUAAAUCAUAUGGAACCAUCUCUACCAUUUCAUAAUUAAUCUACAUUGUUGUGUUUUGUGAAAUCCAGUUAAUGGAUACCACUUUUAUCGACAAAUAUUGUCUACUAUCUUUUCAAACAUAUACAUCGAUUCCAAAAAAUAUUCAAAAGUAUAACAUAAAAUAUAUACAUUGUAUUAAAAAAAUAUUUAAAAUAAAAAUUAGAUGUGCUAUAUAUAUACUAUUUGAGUUAUUGAUUAUACGUCCGAAAGUUACGUAUCGAACCAUUUGGUAGAUAUUUACCUGUCGUGUUAAUCAUGAUUUUAAAUCGAACCUCUGGUAUCUAGGUAUCAGAUGCUCCGGUAGCUUUCUACCAGAAGAGAAAAUACCGAAAACAUAGUCAAUCAAUGUCAAUACUAGAGACAAUGUCAUAUUUGUGAUUGCUAUAAUUGAUAAGGGAUUGAAUUGAGAUAUUGUUAGUCUGUAAUUUCAACAUGCUUAUUUAAUGCAGUCAACAUUAGUUGACUUUUACCUUUACAAGAAUCGAAAUCUUUUCAUUCAAACUUAAGGAGAUCGACGAGAUGUAGACUUAACACGAAAGAGUCUAAAAGUCCUAAAGUUCGACAACACGUGAGUCAUUAAUGCGAGACCGUCGAAGCCAAACAAUUACUGUUAAGGGGGAAAUAUUUGGAAUUUCAAAGAGAAGCGGUUUCCUCAAGGGAAACGUGGGAGACAAGCGGUUGUCCAAAUGGAGGAAGUGUUGACCGUGGAGUUAGGCUUUUUUUCAGUUUAUUUUGCUAUGUUAAAAUAGUAGUUUUCCGUAGGGAAAAUAGGUCGCAAAUCACUUAUAGAAAUUCUACAUCACUCGAAGUACUGACACGAGAGAAAAGAGUUAUACAGAAUGUAUGUAAAGGAGUUCUCGAACCACCUUUAUUUUUAAUGCAAUGCAAUUUAUCUUUUCUUUAAGUUUCUGCACUUUUAACUUUUAGCCUUUAUUUUUCAUUUAUUGAGUUUCUUUUUAUUUUAAACAUUUUUCUGUCGAAAGACGUCUUACGGACUUGUCUUGUUCAUAAAGCAACCUAUGAACUUGAUGAACGCAAACUCUAUUUUCUUAAAGGAGAAAACUUAGGUGCAAUACCACAUGUGUUGUUGGUGUUGUUCUCCUAUUACAAUAUGACACUGUAUAUUCUUAAAUAUUUGAUGUUUAUUUUAAGCAAAAUUAUACAAUCAGUCCCUUAACUUUAUUUUAGGUAACACUUUCGUACUUUAUCUUUUUUUUGUCACGGUUUAGUCCUUUAUGUUAUAAAAUGACAAUAUCUUAUCAUUUUUUAUGAGAUUUUUUUCAAAGAAAUUUGAUUUUCUAGGCUUGUAUGAUGAAGAUUUACGUUUGCUAUUGAGUUUGAUGAUUUUUUUUUUAUUUUUUUCAAAAAAAAGGAUAACUAUGUUGUUAUUUUAUAACAAAAAGGACUAAAUCGUGACAAAAAAAAAAGAUAAAGGACGAAAGUCUUACCUAAAAUAAAGUUAAGGGACUAAUUGUGUAAUUUUGCCUUUAUUUUAUUAGGAAAUAACAGGGCUGAAAAAGAAAAAAUAAACACAAUCACAAACACAAAAAUAUAACAUGGAAACUCCAAAACCGAAGAAAAAACCACGACUGUUGUCUAAACCGACAACCAGAGAAUUAUAACUAUGUGAAAAUUUUUACACACCCCCAUGCCCCAGUACACCCACACUCUCACAAAGCAAAUAUUUAAACUAAGUCAGAUACAAGCUUAAAGUGCUACUGACUGGUACAUCUAAAAACAAAGAAACUAGAUUCAAUAAAUAGCUUUGGUCUUCCCCUUGCUUCACUAAACUAAGCGAUGUGGGACAUAAUCACCAAUAACUAAUAUUUUCUAACCUCCUUCUUUAUUCAACAAACUUGACAAUCAAACCCAACAAUCUCAACCUUGAGUGUAAGAGUUUCAUCUUCCGCUUCCAUUGUAUAUAUCGACAAUCAUACUCCACCAUAAAGAAUAUACUUCACUUGAAACUGAACCAUUCCAAGAAUUUCUUCACGUUGAAACCUUGCUGAAAGAUUAUGGUGCAACUCCCAUGUUGGCUUCCAAGAAGUUCUUCAGCAAUCGACAUAUCUCAUCACACACCCUGCAUCAAUUCCAACCAAUGCCCGUGUGUUGUUUUGAAUCUGUUAGCAAGCACUUGUCCUUUUGCAUGGUAUAGCGGAAAUACCAUAGAGACACAUUUGAUCUUCUAGAUAAAAUCACCAUCAUCUCCCAGAACAAGAUUGACAUUGCUAGCAUUUGCCUCAAAGUCUUUUUCAGAAACUGCUCCACCUAGACAAUUUCUCUUUAAAUGCCCAGACAUUCCACACUUCCAACACGGCAUAUUAUUUGCAUGGAUCUUCUUCCCAUUAGCCCCACUUCUAGUUAACAACAUUGACCUUGAUGAAGUGCUUUCAUCACUUUUCAUCCUCCUUUCUUCAUAAAUAAUUUUAGUUGCAACUUCUUCAAAACUCAAACUUUCCUUCCCAUACAUGAAAACAGGUUUGAGAUGAACAUAAGAAGGUGGAAGGGACAAAAUGAACCUUAACGCUUUAUCUUCAUCAUCAAUCUUAACUUCAAUUGAUUCUAACUCAGAAACAUUAUUAUUCUAAGUACUAAGAUGAUCAAAGAUUUUCGCACCCUCAUCCAUGCGCAAAUUGUGGAAUUGCUCCUUCAGUAACAACCGAUUUGAGAUGUCUUUUGCCUGAUAUAACCCUUUGAGCUUUUCCCAGAGUUCCUUGGCUGAUGACAGAUUCUGCACAUUCACAAGAACAUUCUUUGCCAAACACAGACGAAUUGCACUUACAGCUCUCAAAUCUAGUUCCUCCCACUUAUCUGCUUCCAUCUUGGAAGUGUUUCCUUUCAGCUACGGCUGGACAAAAAACCGAUGUUCGCCCGAAACCGAUGUGUCCGUUGAAUAAAGCAGUGCUGCAGACGGUCCAAGUUCGGAUUAUCAGGUCUACGGGUCAAGUUUCUCGGUCUUACACAGAUAGAAUAGGUCGAUAUUGGAUUUGAGAUUAUGGUCCAUCGAAACCCGUCACCCGACCGACAUUUAUAUUAUACUAGCUUCUAGUCCUACUUUUAGCAGAGUGGCAGACUGCUUUUUAAGUUUUACAGCUGUUAUUUUUUUUCAUUUUCAAUACUCUUUCUUUUCUUAUUACUAUUACUUCUUCCAUUUACAGGUCUCACUCCCACUCCACUUUCACGUUCCCAACACACUUCCCCUUCCCCUUCUUCAUCUCUCUUUUCUCUCUCACGUAAUCCUUCUGACUUCUUCUUCACCACACAAACAAAACACCAUCUCUUUGUAUUUCAAUGGAAAAAAAGAAAUUCAUGUUCCAAAAUAAAGAAAGAAGAAAGCAACAUUUCAAUUGCAACAAAUUCAUCAUCAUUUAUGUGUUCUUCCAUUCUGCCUCCAUGUCUUUUUUUUUUUUUUUUAUCGGAGUCAGAACCUAUAUGAAUCACUAAAUCAACUACCCAAAAACGAUAAAUCAUCUUUAUCCACCAUGUCUAUUAUUUUAACCUCUACCAAUCCGUUACGUUGAAGGUUGUUGUUGUAAUUUUUCUGAAAUUGUUGAAAUUUCAGAUUUCCAUUUGAAUUUUUCUUCCUUUCCAAAGUUUUGAUUUUUGACUGAUUUAGUAACCGAAAAAAUCCACCCAUCAAAACCGAUAUCCGAUCUAACCGUAAACCGGCGUAACCGUAUACACUUGCGGACGGGAAUGGGCUUAGUUUUUCCAUCCGCGAAACCGAUCGGAACCGCGAUUUCUGGCCUGAAACCGUCCGAGUCUGAUCGUUGUCCACUCUUACUUUCAGCGCCUUGUGUAAACCUGAUUGUAUCAGCACAUCCUUGACUUGUACUUUCCACAAGCCAAAGCUGAUUCUUCCAUCAAACUUUUCUAUGUCAAACUUCAUUGCACUUGAAUAAGACAUAACCAGUUGCACAGUACCACCCUUCUUCAGCACCUUCACAAUAUCACACUUCUUUUUUCUGAUGUGGAAGAUCAGACAAUGCUGCAACCACAGAGCAUACUAAGAAUUGUGAUAUCUCACGGAACCGAAGCUCUCAUACCACUGUUAGGAAAUAACAGGGCUGAAGAAGAAAAAAUAAACACAAUCACAAACACAAGAAUAUAACGUGGAAACUCCAAAAUCGGAGAAAAAACCACGACCGUUGUCUAAACCGACAACCAGAGAAUUAUCAUUUUGUGAAAAAUUUUACAACACAUAGACUUCUCUCACUCACACCCAAUGCCCCAAUACAGCCACACUCUCACAAUGCAAAUAUUUAAACUAAGUCAGAUACAAGCUUAAAGUGCUAUUGACUAGUGCAUCUAAAAACAAAAAAACUAGGUUCAAUAUAUAGCCUUGGUCUUCUCCUUGCUUCACUAAACUAAGUGAUGUUGGACAUAAUCACCAAUAACUAAUAUUUUCUAACCUCCUUGUUUAUUCAACAAACUUGACAAUCAAACCCAACAUAUUUUUGAUAUACCAAUUCAACCCACCGGCCACCGCCACAAAAAUUGGCCACUGACCGUUGCAAUAUUCUUUUUAAACUAAUAAAACACUUACAUCCUUCCACCUUCACCCUCACUUGUUGUGCAACACGGAUGGCUCCACAGGGGUUUUAACACAAAUGGUUGUUCAACUGUUUAACAAAUACAUAAAGAAACAAAGCACCAUAAUAUCACAAAUCAGGGUGGAAUCCAACAUGAAUUAACGAGGAAGAAUGUCUGGUAUGAUGGUCAAAUCGUGGUCUAGAGGAAAUAAAAUAAUGGAAUCGCCGAAAAAUACAAGUGAGAAUCAUUGGUGUGUCUUAAUCCGCGUCGGAAGCAAAAAGUAUAAACACCCAAUUUUUAAGAAUAUACACGUGUCAUGUUGUAAUAGGAGAACAUCACCAACAACACAUGUGGUAUUGCACCUAAGUUUUCUCCUUUCUUAAAAACAAAUGCACAACAUGUCCUAGAAUUUCUGGUUUGAUCGUGCUUGUAAUAAUCAAAACUAGCCCUUAUUGUUUACCAAAAACACCGGAAAAUAAAUACAAAGGGAAGAAUGUGAAAGAAACAUGCCAUUUUAUUCUGAUUAUUUUUUGUUUCACAAUAGCAUUACAAUGUUGUAUCCAAUAGAUGACACAGAAGAUCAUGAUAUCCAAAUCAUUUGUUUCUCUCAUAAAUUGAUUCAAAUAUCAAAUAGGUUCAUAACAAAGUACGAUUUCCAACUUCAUAGGUUCAUAUUCAAAGCCUAAAUUCCUAAAACACAAAAGUAAAAAAAAAAAAUUGUAGACAUCACUUAGUGCCACAUAGACUAUAUUGUCCGACAUUUCCCCCUUUAUGUCUCAAUGACAAGUACUGAGUGGCAAGUAUAGCCUGAGCUACAAUCUCCUCCAUAUCCAUGUAUAAAGGAGUACCAGCAUUCUGCUCAAUGGAGUUAAUUGUCAGGUCAUUGAUUCUGCAGGUGAUAGUUAAUGGAUCAAUACCAUGUUCCUCAUGUAAAAGAACCUCAAAAUUAGCAGGCAUCGACAGAUUAUUAGGAAUAUCACUUUGAAAAAAAGGUGAGAGACCCUAUAGAACCAUACCAAGUAUCGAUUCUAUGCCUCCCAAUGAGUCUCCACAAGUUGCCCACAAUAUUCUUCACAAAUCAGAUGUAGAAUAUAAUCCUAAAAAAGCCUAUUCCAUUUGAUAAAUGUUCAAUGUGCACAGUGGGGCAAUUUGUAAAAUUUCUAGGAAUAGUUUGAACAUAUCCAAAUUGCCUCAGCAUGCGCUCCGGAAAGUGUCGACGAAAACACGUCAUGCCACACAUUAUCCACCCUAAUAACCAAAUUAUGUCAUGGUCGUUGUUUAUCAUUGAACAACGGGCAACCAACUAGAUAGAGCAGGAAAGCACCAAUUCACCAAGUCUGAUACAAUUCCAUCACUACUUCCUCCCAAGUGGUGUAUCCUGCGAGAAUUCAACAGCUUUCCACCCUUUUUCGUCCGUUCUUCCAUCCUGUGAUGCCUUGUAACUUAAAAUCUAUUUUCUUCGCUUUCUAUUGUCUUCAAAUACCUUCUAUGAACGAUUGAAUUUCAUUCAUCAUAUCUUUCAUGUGAUGUCUUGUUUUGCCGAUUUACAUGAUUUCUAUCUGAAAAGACUCAAAACAUUUAUGAAAUUGCAUGUUUUAGAAUAAAUGUGAAUUACAAUAACUCGAAUGAAACCAAUACAAAAAAUUCCUCAAACCAAUGACAACUCCUCUAAUUAAUCUCUCAUUUGCCUUCAAAACUCUUCCAAAAACCAUCCCUAAAUGACCGUAAAAAUGCUCACUAUUAUAAUUAUUGGUUAAUAAUGUUUUACCCCCAUGUAAUAUAUGUCAUUUUUAGUUUUUCACCCUGUAAUAUUUUUUUUUAGUUUACGUCCUUGUAAUUUGAAAAUUUCCGGUCAUUUGACUGUACAAAAAUCGAUGAUAUGACAGAGGGGUAAAACGAAGUUUGCUUAAAUUAUCAAGGGGCUAAACCAAAAUUUCCUCAAAUUACAUGGUGGUAAACUGAAAUUUGCUCAAAUUACAAUGGUCGAAAUUUGCCAUGAAGAUCUAAAACCAAAAAAACUUCAAAUUAGAAAGACGGAAAAAAAAAAUUACAAAGUAGAAAAACAAAAAUAAUCUAUAUUACAACGGAUAAACACUAUUAACCCUGUAAUUUUUUUGACGUACGCUAAAAAUGUUGGACCAACUUGUGUACGACACAUAAAUUAUUGCAAUCAAUAAUUUCUGGCCAGACGCAGAAGUCUAAGAGAGAUGUUAAACUCUCAUUAAAAUGAAGUCAAAGAAAUGUUCAUCCUAAAUUCCCAACAUGCUUGUUCUUUUAUGGUAUAUCACCUAACAAUUAUGUUAAUUCUCCCUAAUUAGGACUCCAUCUUUAAGUUGCUUAUUGCCGGACCGAAUUUUUCAUUAAAAAAAUCAUUGACUUAAGAAUGUUGGCAAGUCAAAAAGCAAUCAGUACGACAAUUUUGGGUAAAAUCUCAUUACAUGGAAUAAAACAAGUUUGAUUCCUCCAUAUAUCUUAUAUUUUUAUUGAUUUUUUGGUACAAAAUUCCUCUAGUUCUCUUCUAUAACUGUAGUAGUUGUAGAACUUGACAUAUGAUCCCAUGGCCCACAUGCCAACCAUCUAAACCUACCUUUUUUUCUACACAUUUUUAAAUCUUCAAUGUUUUUAUCAUCACUUUUAAUCAUUAUUUAAGUUUUGUUUUUAAAAUACACAAGGAAACCUUCCUAAAAACAUUUGUGUAGAUAAAUUGUGUUUGACCAUUAUUUAAAAAAUAAGUAUAAUAUAUACAAAUUUUAUAUUUAUAUUUUUAUUUUUUCUAAAUUGUGUCACUAGACUAUUUUUUCUGACGAAACUAGCACCGAAUUAGUAAGAAUAUCCAAAAAAUAUAUGUCCUUAAAAUAAAAAAUCCAAAAUUUAAUUUUGAAAUAUUUAUAAUGUAUGACAAAUUAUUUGAUUUAAAAAAAAUAUGUUUUUGGAAAUCUAAAAAAGUAAAUUACUUUUUUUGGAAAGAAAAAAAAAGUAAAAUACUUGAUAAGGAAAUAUUUCAUAACAAUUAGUAUGUACCAUAUUAAAUUAAAAUGUUAAUUAUAGAAAUAAAUUAAAACUUAAUACUUUCAAUUAAUUAUUAAAUUAAGAAAAUAUAUAUUUUGUUUCAUUUAAAUAUAAACUUACUAUUUUUGUUAGAGGAAAUAACAACUUAUUAUGUUUCACACUCUUUUUGUUUGGCUAAUUUGUUUGGUCUAAUAUGUUUCCCACUAUAAAUAUAAAUAUAAUUAAUAAAAUAUGGAUACAAAUAAGAGUCAUAACUUUAUUGCGUAAAAAAAAAUACAAGACUGGUCAAUUCCUAUAAUACAACUAUUUGUAAUCCUUUUGAGAAUUAACUAUGAUGCCGUAAUUGAAUAAACUAAUUAUUGCAUAUAAAUGCACACAUCACGUUGAAUAUUUUUGCCUAUAAAUGCACACAUCUUUUCAACAUUCAUCUUACAUGAGUUCUCAACAAUUUCAUAUUUGUUUUCACUUGUUAAGAGUCCAAAUUCUUAGAUCAAUCAUCAUGUUUCGUUUUCUCUUAUUUGCUUUUAUCUUUGUGGGUUUGAAACAAGAUGGUGCUAAUGCUCAAAUUUACAAAAGAGUGGGAAAUAAGCUCUUACCAUAUUCAACAAUCAUUGUAGAUCCAUUGGGAAAUGGGAACUUCACAACAAUUAAAUCUGCUAUUGAAUCAAUUCCUUUGAACAAUAAACAUUGGGUUGCCAUUAGGGUGAAGGCAGGUACCUACAGGUAAAAUUUCAAUUCUCUUUCAUUAACUAGUACAAAAUAUAUGCACCAACAUGAUUAAUUUUUUAUUUUUUUUUUAAAGAAAAUCACUAAUAUGCAAUGCAUCCCAAACUUCAAUAUUUUUUUUAAUAAUUAAUAAAUAGUUUAUUUUUUCAUUAGUUUUUAUUUUAUCAUUAACACAGAUCCCAUGGGACAUGCCAAACCAACAACACUUUGUUUUUAUUGGGGAAAAAGGGACCUAAGCCCGAGAAAAGAGAAAACUAGACACUCUAGGGGUUGUUAUACCCAUAACAUCAGCUAACAUCAAAUAACUUAGCUUAGUUAGACACUGCACAUACACACGCAACCCAGUCGCAUGCUCACAAUCUAUAUAUGUUCGCAAGAAUGUCAACACACAAGUUCGUUUCUUUGUCCACACUUUGUUUGGUUUAAUUGUUUUUGAUUAUUUUUUUGUCUCUUGACAUUCAUUCAAUGCUUUAAUGUUUGAGAAACUAACCGUGAACAAAUUUUUUUCUUCUUAAAGUAUUGUAUGUUUUGAAAAUGAUUUUUUAGAAGAGCAAAUGAGUCAUCGUUUGUGUUUUAUUGGUGCAUUAUUGUAGUCAAAAGAACUAUUAUUCUUUGUGGAAUUGAGGGUGUGGUUUAUAUUUGUAUAUUACUUUUGAUGCAUAAGAUAGAUGGGUUAAACAGCCUUUUACUCGUGAUUUAUACAUAAAAGAUAUAUAUGAUGUAAAAAUAACUAAUCUUUAUAUAAAAAUUAAUUCAUUUUGUUUCGUUUGAAAAUAACACUAUUGUACAAGAUUUUUAAUUUUUAAUAUUUUGAACUCUCGAUUUUAAAUGAAUUAUGAAAAAUGUUAACUUUGUGGGUAUUUCAGGGAAAAGAUAGAGAUUCCACGUGAUAAACCUUACAUCAUACUAAAGGGAGCAGGAAAGAGGAAAACCAUUGUUGAAUGGGAUGAUCAUGCACCAAUCUCACAAAGUGCUACAUUUUCCUCAAUGGCUGAUAAUGUUGUCGUCAAAUCCAUCAGUUUCAGGGUGAGAAAUAAUCUACCAAUUACUAAUUGUUUUCAUUUAGAGUGUCUAAGAAAAAUUUUCAUUUCAUUUAUGCCUUUUCUUAUGAUGACUAUUAGCUGCUUAGAUGUUUAUGUGUGACUAUGUAUCUUUAAACAUUGUCGACUGACUCUACAAACCAACAUGAGUCUUAUCAGCGUGUUUUGUCCUCGCUCGUACGUUUACUGGUAAACUUCCGAGUAGGUCACUCAUCCAAAGACUACUCCACGUCUAGCACACUUAACUGUGGAGUUCUUAUGGAAUAGAUUACCAAAAAGAAUAUGGAUCUUGUUGAUAUAGGUAGUACCAAACAAUUCUUAUAAGUCUUCCUUCAACCAUGCAGUCUCAUACCUACACGGCUUCGGGAUCCCUCUCAUUCCGGCGUGAUUCGCUUCAUCAAGAAGCUGUCGGGAGUCGCUCAUUGUCGUGCCUUGCGCACCGGCGAUCACUCCCUGCCCUCGUCAGCCGUGGGUGUUACAAUGCCGCUAUUCUAGGGUUUCUUUUAACAAGUCAAAACAAAUUAUAUCACCAUGAAACAACCAUUUUUCCUAGUGCAAGAUGUAUCGAAGAGAACGACAAAAGUUUAAAACAAGAUGAUCUGAUAAACCAACAGUAAACAAAGAUUAACAAUACCCAAACAAGUAAUAGGGCAAAACCACCAACUAAGAUAACCUAUUCCAAAAAAUUGAUUUGAGUUUGCUAUUGGUAGCGCCACUAUUGGUGUUUUAAAAAAAGAAUGAGAUAUAUGAAUGACAGAUUCUUAUUUAUUCAUCAAUAAAAUGUGGGUAAAGUCGUUGUCAAUAUAAAAAUUAAUGGAAUCAUCACGAAAUUUUGUUCCUUUUAAUAUCGUGUCCAAACUCUGAAUUAUAUGUAAAAUGAUAAGGAAUAGGAAAAUAUUGUUCCAAAUUAGGAUAAUGAUAUAAUUCUGUGUUUUAUGCAUUGUUUCUCCUUAACAAGUUUGACUAAAAAGUAAAAACUGCUAUUAUUUUACCAAGUUAUUGCAUCAACACGACCAAAUUUUUUUACAAUAGUACAAGACCAUGUUAAUGCAUUUGGUCUUCGAUGUUUGGGGGAAGUAGGAAGUUCGUUAAUAUAACAAUAAUUGUCGGUUAAAGAAUAUUUUCAACGAGUGUACCAGAAAAAAUAUUUUCAACGAAAAGUCAGUCGAAUUGAUUUGACUAAAUAAAGAACUAUUUAUUUUCAACGAAUGUAUAUGAAAUCUCUCUCUAAUUCCGUCACUAAAUUUUACGACCAAGGAAUUUGUGAGGAAUUUUAUGUUUUUCGUCACAAAUUUCUCUCCCUAAUUUUGCUUUUUCUAAUAGUGCUUCUUUUUUUCUUUACAAAACAAAUUAGAACGAUUUAUUUGGUUUAAGAUUCAUAUGCAUAUAUGACCUAAAUAAUUAGCUUAGGGAAACUUCCUAGCAGAAUAAAUAAUAAAAAAAAAAAAAAAACAAAAACAAAACAAACUAACAUGCAUGUGUUGAUCUUGUUUUUUUUUUGGUUCGGGGUUUGAAUCCCCGACCUUGGAUAUAUUAUGCAUUGUUCAUACCAACUGAGUUAAGUUUAUAAGAACAUGCAUGUGUUGAUUUAUUAGGGUUUUAACACUUGUAGAUUGUGCAAUAUUUCUUAAAUCAAUUUAUGAUGUGUAAUUUUCUUAUAUAUAAUAAUACAUUGAAAACAAUUUAUAUUGUAACAUAGAUGAGGUAAUAUUUUGCUUAUUUAUGUGGAGCAGAAUACAUACAAGAAUCCGAUAAAGAACCAUACCCACAUAGCUGCAGUAGCUGCAAUGAUAAGUGGAGAUAAGACUUAUUUUUUUAGGGUUGGUUUCUUUGGUUAUCAAGACACUUUGUGGGACAACAAUGGAAGACACUACUACAAGCUUUGUACCAUACAAGGUGCUAUAGAUUUUAUCUUUGGUGCAGGCCAGUCUUUGUUCGAGGUAAACAAAUUCUCUUCUUUUUUUUUUUUUUUCUAAUAGCAAAAGAGAAAUUUUAUUGAAUAGUAGAUGAGACAAAGUAGAAGGGUACUAAUUAAGUCCUUCCUUGUAACGAUCACACACAAAAUAGUUAACAAACUCAAUUACAAUUAAUGAAUGUAACAACUCACUUGUUUUCAUUCUCUUAGAAAAGAAAAAAAAAAAUACUCACGUGUUUUUAUAUUUAUUAAUUGAUGUAAUAACACAUCAUUAUAUUUAUGUGGAAAAUAAUUGUAUAUUGAAAAAAUUUUGAAUGUCAAAUUCUGAUGCAAUUGUUAUCAUGAAUGCACAAAGUCUUAAUUAGAUAUUGAGUUUGCUAACGAGUGUUCUAAAAAUAUUGUUUCAGUAUUUUAUUAGAGAAAGUUCUGUCUUCGAAAUACAAACUAUUAUUUUUGUUAAUGUAAUGAUUACAUAACUUUUUAUUAUAAAUUUCUCCUUUUAAUACUUUAACCAAUACACUAAGUGCACUCACUCGUUAGCAUUCUCCUUAAAUAUUUUAUAUAUUGUAGAAUCAUGUUUUAGUGUAUUUGUUCAUUGAAUUUUGUAGAGGUGUUCUAUAUCUGUUAUUGGUGGUGGUUAUAUAACAGCACAAGGUAGAACGAAUGCAAAUGAUGAAAGUGGGUUUGUUUUCAAAGAUUGUCAUAUCUUUGGUAAUGCAAGGGCUUAUUUGGGAAGGCCUUGGAGACGUUAUGCUAGAGUCUUAUUUUACAAAACAAAUAUGACCAAAAUUGUAGCACCUAGAGGUUGGAAUCCAUGGAGUUUUGAUGGUGAAGAGUAAGUUCCUCUUUUUACCAAUGUUCUUUUCUUUAAAUUGUUAUGAGAUUACAUUGAUCCAUGCUAAAAAAAUUACAUAGUGAUAGUUAAUUACUAUAGAACUUAGUGAAAGUUUAUUAAAUGAAAUUUAAUUUCAUGAUAAAUUUAUUUUGGGGUGAACAAAAUAUCUUUUCAUUACUACUUACUUUCCUAUGCAAAAAAAAAAAAAAAAAAACAACUUAUUUAGGUAAUGUGCAAUAAAACAUUUUCAAUCCACUUAGAAUAUGUUUGGUAAGAUUAAAGCCUUUCAUCAUCAUAAAGAAAAGUUACUUUUAUCUAGGUAAUAAAGUUGAAUAGAACAAGUUCAUAAGUCAUAACUCAACUAGUAAAAUUGGCAAAAUUGUUAGGUCAAACGUCUUGACUCGGAGUUUAAAUCUCAGCUUCUCCACUUGCAUUUGUGAGUUUUCAAUGGCUAUUGUCAUUUCACAUAUCAGCAAUUUCUUUUAAUAGGACAAGAUAUAAAAAAAUAUAAAGCACUUAUUUUUUCUACUCAAGCAAUAGAACACUUGAAUAAUUUUUUUUUUUUUGAAGAGGCUAAAAUGAAUUAUAUUAUCACAAUAAAAUGGCCUUCCUUUGACAAAAAAAAAAAAUGGCCUUCCUUACAACACUUGAAUAAAAUUAAUUACUACGAAUGCAUAUCAUUCUUAUUUACCAUUUAUUUUUCCUAAUGAUUUUGACUAAAUUUAUUUAAAACAAUUAUGAGUAUAUUGAAAUCUGUUUCUUACCCUCAAUUCUUUUAAAAACCUCUCUUGCUUAAUAUCUCUACAACUAUAUAUCUAUAAAUUGACUGGACAACAAAAUUGAUGUUAAUUCAAAUAAAUUAAAUCUUUUUUUCCUUCUUAUUUUCCCUUUAAGAUUUUCUUUUUGUUCUACUUAAAAAUUCAUAUCUUGAAAUAAAAUUUUGCAGGGAUCAAAUAACAUUCGCAGAAUAUGGCAAUUUUGGACCUGGUGCUGAUACAUCCAAGAGAGUGAAGUGGACUAAGAAAUUGGAUUUAGAAACUGUUGAAAAUAUGGCUAGUCUUAACUUCAUCAACACACCAGAAGAAUGGAUUAAUUAUCAACCGUUCUAAAACUGAUUUGAUGGUGCAUGUAACCUGUAAAGAUAUUGCUGCCAAACAAAUUUCUGUAUACUUUUAUUUUUUUAUGGAUUUCUAUGUACUAUGUUAGAUCAAUUAGACUUAUGCUGGAUAGGACCAUGUUGUGAUAUGAAUUUAACUAGUUUAUGUGACCGUUUUUCUUUUAAUUCUUUUAAUAAUCACUAUAUUUUGUUGUUGGAAUAAUAGUCAAAAUUAGUUAAAAAUAUUUUUCUGUAACUAAAGAGAUUAUAAGGCUGAGUCGCGGAAUAGGUCGUUCUCUUUAGAUCGUUCAAAAUUGUGCAAGCAGACUAUCAACCACGAUGCCCCAGGAUAAAACAGCUCAGCUACCACUGUAUCAAAGUCCUAUUGCACUAUAGGAUCUGUUCUAGAAAGACACCUUUAAAUAUGGUGCUAAAACCACUCCAAUAUGGUAUUGAUACCACUCUAUUAUGGUACUAAGACCACUCUUAUAUGGUACUAGGACCACUCUAAUAUGGUGUUUCCACCACUCUAACCUCUAACUUCUCCAAGGGCAUAAAAGAUAAAAAAAAAGAACUAUACUAUUAAGAUCAUUCAUAUAUAAUACUCUUAUUUUCAAGUGGGAAAAAUUUAACAAAUAGACUAUGUUCUUAAACCAUUUUUAAUUCCAAAGGAACAUUAUAAACCGAAUGGGUCUAUGACCUUAAGAACACUCUUUAAAUCUGAAGGGACAGAAAAAAAAGGGAAAAGAAAAAAAUAGCUCGUCAAGCCUAGCUAAAUGGGGGAGAAAAGAGAAAAAAUUUUGACAACUCAAGAGAACUUUUGGUGUGCAAAGAAGUGAGGAAUGUGAGCUCUUCUUAUAGGUGAGGAGCCAAAGAUAAGUUACAAAUCCAAUGGUUAGGAUUAGUUGACCGCCGGAAAAUUAAUAACAUGAUCUCGCCUCAUAAAUGAGCACUUAAUGUGAUAUAUGAUAUGAUAAUUUUUUUAAUUCACAUAUUAACACUUAUAGAUUUCAUGUUCAAGUUCAUCAUUUAAAAAAGUAGUUUUAACAUGCAUUAUGCAUUUGGUUUACUUCCAAAUCAUGAAUAGAAGCAAGAUCAAUUAGUACCCUUAUGAAUGUUAUCGUAGUGACUAGAGAAAAUGUGUGGAAGACAUCUAUAUUCUUUUCUUUGUCUAAAAUCCUUAGAUACAAGAUGAGCCUUGUAUUUAUCAAUAGUUCCAUUGAGUUUUAUUUUUCAAAAUCCAUUUACAACAUAUUGGUUGCAACAAAAGGUAAGUCUACCAAAUACUAGGUCUUGUUAGACUCUAGAGAAUCUAUCUCAUCUUUUGUGGCUUCUUACCAUAAGUCAGCAUUCAAGGAAGAUAACACUUCUUGAAGGCUAGUUGGAUUCUCUUCUAAUGUAUCAACCAUGUAACCAGGUCAAUACUCCUUACCAACUAGUGCUUUCUUACCUCUUCGAGGUUCUGCUACAUCUGAUUUGAUGUUCUCAUCACUGCUCCUGAUCACUUGAUUGUGGUCAGCUGCAAUGUCCCCACUAAUGCCCCACUAUUUUAUUAAUUAAAAGGGGAAUUUAAUUUCAUAAAAAUCAUUAUCUUUUGAUUAUAUGAUCACAGUAGCAUUUAGAUCAUAAAACCUAUAUGCUUUCAUGUUAAUAUCAUACUCAAUUAAUUUCAUAAAACUCAAUGAAGUGUGGAAAUUAUAUUUUUAUGCCUCUAUCAUUACGAAAUCACUUGAUUUUCUUAUUCAAUUGAUUUUCAAUUUCAGUUACAAUUUUUUUUAACUUGUCAAGCGUAUCACUUUUAUUUCUCACGAGAUAUGGUGAAAAGGGAUCACCGUAACGAAGACCGCGUUCAUGCACAAUAGUGCUUACAGAUGCUCCAUUGAUCAACAUGGAAUAAUCGACCAUCUCAAUGCAAAACAUGAUCCAACUAAACCAACGAGAGGAAAAACCCAUUUAAACCAAAAUAUCACGUAAAUUUUCCAAGUCCAGUCGAUCAUAUGCUUUGUUAAUAUCCAACUUAAGUGCAACAUCUCCACUUUUUCCUUCAUGUAAUGGACGAUCUAAAUGGCCAUCAUUGCAUUAUUGAGUGUCACGUCAUUUUUCGGAGAUCAAGGCUAUUUGAUUAGAGUUUGACUCACUUUUUAUUUCACGACUGAACAUUUAAUUUUUUUUUGAGAAAAUGGGAAAAAAAGUUCAAAACACCCAUUGAAAAGAUUUAGGGGGUUAGUUACAUAAAGGGAAGGUAUUAUCACCAUUUAUGUUCGUAGUACUUUACGAGAACCUCUUGGUUUUUAUUUUAUUUUUUGUUGUUAUAAACUUGCUUGUCUUUUUGAAAAAUAAAGAAUUAAAGUGAUUAAAAUAAAGACCUAAUUUAUCUACAUUUUUUAUGAUUUGAAAGGACAUGUCCUUUGCCUACGUACGUGAGGGAUCAAAACCUUGUAGUUUGGGAUAAAAAUUGACGUUUGAUUUGAUUUGUGUUUUUUAUUAGUUUUGAAAAAUGUUUUAAAAUGAAAGAAAAGCCAAAGUAGCAAAUGAGUAUUUGUUUGUGUUUUUUAAUAUUAAAGAAAAUGGACUCAUGAUAAAGAUUAAAUUGAUUAAACAUUUGAAUAAAGAAAAAAAAAAAUAGAUCACUUGAUUUUUUAAUCAAGAUUUAUUGUAAAAAAUGUUUUUUGUGGUUUUUGGUUAUUCACAUUGAAUUAUAUUUACAACUAACGGAGCAAGAAAAUAAAAACGUAGGUACUUUGUGGUGACGUUGGAUCACCACAAAGACCUUUAACCUAAACUAUGAAGCAUAAAAAUAAAGUAUACACCCACACACGCACACAUGAAUGAUUUACAUGAAGCCUAUAUAUACAUUCUAAAGUCUGCGAAAAAACAAAUAUGCAAGAUAAAUUUACAUUAAGCGUAAAUAUACAUUCUAAAUCCAUGUAAUAAAACAAAUGACGGAAAAUAAAUAUGUAAUAUGUGGAAUAAUAAAUAUGCAUGAGAAUUAAAAAAAUAAAAUGUUAAAGAAAAGAAAAAAUGCAUGAAGAAGAAAUUAAAAAAGAAAUGCAAAGGGGCCACCGGUUCUCAUUAUUAUGAUGGAAUCUCUUUAACUUUGGAGAGCAGCCACUGCCUUGCAAUUGGAAUGGAAUAGAACAGCUAUGGCAAACACCUGUUAAUGAUGGAAGCUUUCACUAGAAAUCAAUUCUAAGCAAAUUGAAUUUGAAAUAGAACAGCCUUGCAGCCAUAACAAUGAGAAUAAAGUAAGCAACACAUCUAACAUGUAGCAACGAAAAUUAUCGCAUGUAGCAGUACACAAAUAGAGACACAAUAGCAACCAAAAACACUCAAUUGAAAUGCUAUAGAAUACGUGUAACAGAAUUGGAAUUGAACAUAAUGAAAAUAAAUGUGUAGUAGCAAUAGAAUUUAAAUGGAAUAACAAAACAUGAAAUUGAAAUUGGACUCAUGGAUUGAACAGCAACACAACCGAUCUCAAUCAGCAACUAAUAAUAUAACAAAUGAAUUGGAAUUAAAUAAACAUAAAACAAAAAUUCUCAAGGUUCUAAAUGAUGCAAUAGCUAUCGUGAAUUAAAUAUUAAAAACAAGACAAAUUUUAUGGUACACCCAAUAUAUAUAUUGAGUGUACCGGUACACUCACUCUUUAAAUUAAUGGUUAAAUGAGUUGUUUUUUUGAAGAAAAAUAUUAUUUUCUAUCAUUUAUAUUUAUAAUAACUAAAUCUUAUUAAUCAAAAGUGGUAACGAAAUAAAAUUAUUAUUUUUUAAAUUUUUAGCACUCAAUAUUGAUUAUAUUUUACGAUAAUAUGUAAAAAAAUUACUAUGAUUCUUAUAAACAAUGAACUGAUGUUUUUUCUUAUGAAAUGAUGUUCUAUAAAAUAUAAAUAUUGAUAAAUAGUUAUUUAUUUCAUAAAAAAUAUCGUUAAUUUAUAAAAUUAUGAAAAAAGAGUACCGGUACCCCUCAUUUUGUGAGUGUACUGUAGAAGUUCCCUAAAAACAAAUGAGAUUAGAAACGUGAAUGAGUAAUAGCAACGUGAAUGAGCAAUGACAAUGGCAGCAUGAAUGCAAAGAAUAAAGAGACAAUUGAAACUCUGAAUUAAAUUGAAAAUAGUUUGGAGAACCUAAAAUAAAAAAAAUUACGGCAGACUAAGAUUUUUCUAAUAAAACUAAAAUUGAAGUAAGACUCGGUUCUCCCCUUUUCUUGAUGAAUUGGCUUUUCUUUUAUAGCAUCUUGGGUAGGGUUAGGGUUUGUUAAAGAGAAGCAACAAAAUUGCCUUGGUUUGGGGAGGAAUAAACUCUGCAGAUUGAGUGUGAUGCGUGAUAGGCUGUUUGGAAUUGAACUUGGACCAUUUGGAUAUUGUCAUUGGACAAGAUCAUACAAAAAAAAAAAAGGGGAUAAAGACUAAAAAAUAAAAUAAUAGAAAAAGGGAUAAAGACUAAAAUAAGGAUGAGAUUAAAAUAGAAAUAAAGAAAUAUAUUUUUUAAAACAAAAUUAAAGUUAAUCAAUUAACAACAAAAACUUAAAUAAAAGAUGGAAUUAAAAAAUGAAAUAAAAAAUAAAAACAAGGGCCCAACUCGAAACCAAAAAUGAGGUAUUUUAAAAUACCUCUCUGCCGAAUUUUUUACUGAAAAGUCUGAGACUCGUCGAGGUUAAAAGGGUGUAUGAAUGUAGGUCCUUAGGUCAAAAAUUGGUGUAUGACAUUGAGGAUAGAUCUACCUGGGACGAAAGUUGUUUGAUUAAUAGAAAUACACCAAUCAAGCACCUAUUAACAAGCACCUUUGCAACAAUUUCAUAAACAUUACAAAGUGCAAUAGGCCACCAAUCCUUCACGGAUACCUGAGUAUCACCUUUGGGGAUAAGAGUAAUACUAAUAGAAUUGACAUGAGGCGGGAAAACACUAUUUGCUAACCAUUAACACUAUGCUUGAUAUACUUUAUGACCACAAGUAUCCCAAAAAUGUUGAUAAAAACCUUUGAAUAAAUCCAUCCAGCCCUGGACAUUUAUUUGCUUGCAUAGAAAAAGCUGUCCGUUUGAACUCUUCUACAAUAAAAGAAGCGGUUAACAUAUCAUUAUCUUCUCUAGUGAUAGAGGCAGGAUCCAAAUUUAUAUUAUUGGCACGAGAUACUUUUGACUUUUGAAAUAACUGUAUGAAAUAGUCACGUGCAAAGUGUUUCAUACCAUCUGCAAACCGACAUUCAAAGCCAUUUCCAUCCUCUAAAUGCUCAAUUAUAUUCAACUUUCUUCUUGUAGUGGCUACCGCAUUAAAAAUAAUUUGAAUUAGGUCCCCAUCUAUAUACCGAAACAUUUUUGCUCCCUGUUUCCAAAAAACAUUAUCUUUAAUUAACAAUCCAGCCUAUGUCGUAGCAUGUUAAAAUAUCUCACAUUUGAAACAUCCACAUUUGUCGAAUAGCUUCAUGCUUGCGUGGAGACUCCACUUAAAGAGAUACAAAGCACAUUGCUUAAGUUUAUGCACAAGAGGUCGUUUACCAUAACCCUGCCAUCUUUGAGAAGAAAAUGGGCCAAACUCAGGUUCAACUAACUAAGCAUUUUCAAAGCGAAAACGACGUUGGCUACCAAUAGAAGAAGGUUGCGGCACAUGACCAAGUAAGAGUGGGUAGUGGUAAGAUAAAGUGGUAGUAAGACAUUCAAGCUUUCAUUCUUUAAUAUAUCAAAGCAACUAUCAUUAGCCAUAGCUCUAUCCAAUUUUUCCUCCACAACAUGAUUGGUGCCUAAACUUUUAAACUAUGUAAAGAAAGAGCCAUCCAUAUGAAUAUAAACAUGUCUAGCAUCCAAAACAGCUUUCCUGAAACCUUGAAUAAGCCAGGAUUGACGAUCAGGCCUUCCUUUUUUUUUUUUUUUUUUCAUCUGCCGCUAAUACAUCAUUAAAAUCACCAAUAAUACGCCAAGGAAGCUGAGAAUUAUUGGAUAAAGCUCGGAGAAAGAUUGGAUAAAUGCAGCUAAUAAAGCGCGUUGGUAGUUCGACAAUAUCCUUAGUGGUUGUGUGCCUCUGUCUAUGAGAUUGGAUAACAUUCUAAAAUUCAAAAAUCUUCCAAACAAGUUGUGCAUUAUCGCACCAAAAGAAUAGAUAAUCAUCAUCCUCUAUAUUAUCCUAGCAUAACACAUUUAUAAGUUUUUAUUUUUAUUUUUAUAAAUUGGUCAUUUAAAUCAUAAAAUAUUUACACUUUAACCUAUUUUUUAAGUUUACUUUGCUAAAAGUGUUUAUGAACUAUUUAACAUUGAGAUUAUAGGUCAGAAAGAUCUUAUGUAAAUACCAACCUAACAUUAAAUGUAUAUGUAAACAUUUGCGUUUGUUUCAAAUUAUAUUCGUAGAUUCCUGCGAUUAAAACAAUAGGAAUAUACAUACAUAUGUUUGUUACAAGUUUACUAAAUUUUAUUCCUAGGUAUAAAAUGCUCAUGGGAAUAGAAAUUUUUUCCAAAAGAAAAGGGUGGAAGUUAGGAGAUGGGAAUAAAUUCAUGAGUAAUUACCUAUUAUAAAUCCUACUUUUAUGGUUCCCAGGAAUAUUAUAAUGUUAAGCAAACAUCUUUUUUCUAAAUACCUUGGAAUAAAAUUCUCAUCUUUAUGUUCCAAUGAAUGUUAUUCCCAGGAAUAAAUUUGGUAAAAUGAAACAAACACACUCUAAGUUUAAUGAUUCUUUUUUUUUGAACAAAUCAAAAUGGAAUAUAUUGCUCAAAAGAGGAGAGAUUCACCCCACACAAGGUGUGCUAAAAGUGGUGAAUCACCCAAAGUCUGUUACAAAGUCCAGGCAUCUAUGAAAAGGAUGCCACCACCGAACAAAAAAAAAAUCAAAUUACAUGACACCCAUACAAAGGAGUGGGUGUCACCACCAAUCAUGCAAGCCAAAAGCAACACGAACAGAAUUUGCAGAUACCCAUAAAAAGGAUGUCAGCUUCACUUUG